GACCGCGCCCUGACCCUGUACACCACGCAGCCUGAGCGCUGGGCGGCGCUGCAGCAGGACAACAUGCGCCUGGACGUCAGGUGGGCAGAGAGCCAGGGCGGGGGGUUGAUGUGGGCAUGGUGCGUGUGGAUGUACUACGCUGCGUUUUGCGUGCAUGCCAAGUGCCUGCGGGGCCAUGACGGAAAAAAGCAGUACGAUGUGCUGGGCUUUGAUGCGGCGCGUGUUGCUUGUAUUCAAUGUCUGAUCUCUGCUCUCUGUAACUGCCUGCGCACGUGUGCUUUACUUCUCUGCAGCUGGGGCAAGUCGGCGAAGAGCUACGUGGACGUGUACCGCUCCAUCAGCGCCUGAGCAGGAAGAUUGAGAUGACUCAACAGAGAUUGGAGAAAAGGACGAGGGCGCAGCACGUCCUGCAUAGUGCAAGAGUGCUGCGGGCGCAGUGGCAGCGAAGGAGCAGGCACGGCGUAACGUCACACAUGCACGCUAAUGGGUGUGCCCCGCUGCGGGGACGGCAUUGGUUCUGGGGACCGCUCGUGAGUUCACCUAUUGUUUACUGCUGGCCUGGUCUUCAGACGGGGCUGCAGUGCUUGUAUUAUCAGCAAGGGACUUAUUUUUGCCGGUGGCAUAGUAACGGUACCAUUUGAGAGAGAGGUAUCACAGAGAGGCAUGGCACCGUACAUCCGAUGAUUUGGGUGGGGCGCUGGCGGUUUUGCGGGAGCGCACGACACGCGUUGCGCACAAGUAGCCCGCGAGUUUUGUACCUCGCCUCGAACCACGUUUUUGGGGUGCGUUUGAGGGCGAAACCAUUUUGCAGGGAGAUGAGAGAGGACGAGGUUGGCAGAACGCGGUGGUGCCAUACAUGGAACGAUUGCGCCACCCGUAGGCCAGUGGUACCGUAUCCGCCGGGGAAUUCCGAGCGAGCCUUGUACGUCACGCUUGUACGUAACUCGGUUACUGCGGACACAGAACUUGCUAUUUUUAUAUUUAAGGAAUUCGGCCACUGACGCCGUGGACGCCGCCCCUGCCUUCGUAAGAUACGAGCGCUGACCGCCCCCUCUACGCACACGCACACCACGCCUUCCCAUCACGGCCUGUCACCUUCCCACGCACCACAUCUGCACAUAGUAACCCGCCGGUCUUGCGUCCAAAGGCUGCAGUGACAGUAUAUACGCACCGCAUGCCCCGCCUUCCCCCAUCCCCAUCACCCUGCGACCUGUGCUGACGAGCAUGGCGUAGCGGGCAGUCGGCUGCAGUGGCAGGGGUGUUGAGAGGUGGAAGUUUCCUUGCUGUCUGGUUGGCCUGCUGCCUGCUGCACGAGUGCUUGAUAGCUGGGCGCGACUGGGCACAUAUGGCGGGCGGUGCCUGCACAAACUGACCCCGGCUAUGUCCGGGAGAUGAGGCUAGUAUCGGACCCUUCGGCCUCAGACGGAGGACGUGGCGUGGGCUCAGCCCACUUUUCCCUUGCGAGGGAGAGCCACCUUUUCUUGUCAUAGUAGACCUGCAAGUAGCCAUUGCUACGGUUCCAGCCCUUCCCAUCGGCCUCCUCUCACUCCCUCAAGCUCCAGGGUCCCAGGCAGGCUACGCACCCACAUGUACUUGAAUGCAAAGUGUACCCACGCCUCCUCAUGCAACAACCAAUAAGUGUGGUCUUUAUGGAUCACUGAGGUGCGGAAUGCUUGACUCGCACCCCUGGCUUGAAUCUGCAAUGCUGUGCACUUACCACCACAUGCAAUCGUUCGUUUGCCCUCGCAUGUCAUUCAUGUAUAAGCUGCCUUUCGUCUGCCACCAUCAAAUCGCAACCACAUUUGACGCAUUCCGCAUGCGCCAUGCGGUGCGGCCCUUAUCUCCCUCGACGCCCCAUGCUAUCUCGCUCUCUGACGCCACCAGCAAAAUCACACAGCCCCUCCUGAGGCACCUGGUCAGUGCUGCCACUGUCGCCAGCACCUCAUUCCUCAGUCGUCCUUGUUCCCGCCACCAAACAGACCGCCGAGGGUACCAGUAUCCGCGACGUCCUCCACCGCGUCGCCCACCGCUGACGCCACGUCGGCCGCCGACAUCUUGGAAGCCUUUGAGUGGUGGCUACCCUCCACUUCGCGCUCCUCCUCCUCCUCGUCGUCGUCCUGGUCGCUGUCCUCCUCCUCCUCAGAGCUGCUCUCGUCCUGUGAACGGUGCGAGCACGUGGCAAGCGUGUUGGAAGUGGCGCUGCGUACAUGUGGUCCUGCUUACCACCGCCUCGCAUGCAUCUCUAGCGGUCCCGCCCCAACUGUCGUCGUCUUUCCCGCACGCCUGUCCCUUCCCACCAGCUCCCCACGCUAAGUCUCGGGUCUGUGUCUCUUUUGCAGGUUAACUUGACAGCAUUGACCAACAACCCAGCUCCAACAGGAUACCCUGCCCUGGCUCCUAUCUCGCCAGCCCGCACCUUCUCCUUCUUGAUAGAGGGGUCCACCGGCGAGAUGCCACUGAUGCCGUACAAGCGCGGGUCAGCGCCACCGGGCGGCGUCAGCUGCACCUUCCAGGCGGCGCCGCUGUGGCGGUGCAGAAGCGUCAGGUAGGCGCCGCGGCCCUCGUCGUCGGUGCCGAUGAGGGAGAGGUCCUUGGUGAUGUCGUAGAUGGCCUCAAUCUGGCGCAGUGGAGGCGAGGGAGCAGGCACGAACGUGUAUGCCGGUUUUAUGCGCAGUGUAUCAUGCGCGGUGUAUCAUGUGCGGUGCAUCAUGCGCGGUGAUCUCCCUCGGGUUCGGUAUGUCGGUUUUGCCAAUCCCAACACCCGACCCAGGGGGUUUGAGGCGUUUGAGGCGGCGGAAACUGAUACGGUAGUGCACACCGCUCCUCGUGCCACGGGCCGCCGGCCUACCUUGCCGCCGUACAGCUUGAAUAGUGGCUUGAGGUUCUCCACACCGCCCGACUGCGCGCCCGGCAGGCGCUCCAGGAUGUAGCUGAAGAAGCCGGUCUCGUGCACCUCGUCUGGGGGUGGGGUGAGUGGGUGUUUGGAGCCAUUGACGACAGCACGCGAUGCGGGGCAUCAGGUGCAGCAUGCGGAUUUUGCGGAGUCAGGCGUGCAGGGGAAGGAAGGGCAGGUUGCCUAGCAGCAGGCCGCCCCCGGCCGCCUCAAGUUAUGCCCUUGCAGCUCCUGCCUGUCCGCUGUUGUGUCGCAGCCCCUGUCCCAUUACUCCCGGCCCAGCCGUCCUCAUCUUUCAGCUCCAGCCAACCUACCAUCAAACGCCGCCGCGUGUAGCUGGCCAAAGCGCGCCAUGCCCACCGCCUGGCCCAGGUCUGCACACUGGCGCACGUCGGGGUUGCCACCCACGGUCGGCGGCCUGCCGGGUAUGCAGGCGGCGCACACGCACACCAUGCAAUGGUUAGGGGCCUGAAUGACACCGUUGGCAUUAUGUUGUGCAACACGGGCGCCCGGGGCACGUGAUAGGCCCCUUGCCCACCCGCAGACCCGUCAGUUGGUGGUCUGCCGGCCAGUCAGUCCCCCACUCACCAGUAGGUGACGUCGGUCAGCGAGGCCGGGUUAACCGUGAACGUGCCCUUGCGGAUGGCCUGUGAAGUUUAGGCGGAUUACGGGCAUGCAUAACCGCAUACCGCGCCAUUGCCAUCGCGCAUAACACCCUCCACAACUGCCCUGCGGCCCCAACCCCUUCGCGGACCCGGCCUUGCCGGCCGCACACACCUUGAUGUCCAGCGGGUGCCGCACAACCCAGGGUGCCACCGGCUGGCCCUGGUGCCGACCGCCGCGGCUGGCGUACUCCAACCAGAGCUGUCCGUUCUCCAAGUAGGCGCGCGCGCCCUCGCAGUUGGUGUGCGCGGUGUUGGCGCCUGGCGGCGCCGCCACCUUGAAGGGGUGCACACCGUGCGCCACCCAUUUCUUCUUGCGUUUGGAGAUCUGGGGGCGAAGGGCGGUUGCAGUUUGAGCAUGGGUGGGCUGGAGCAGUUUUAAAAUGCCGCCAGUGCCCUUCAUGCCCAUGCCGCAUGUGACGCCCCGUUCACCCCCAAUCCCAUUCUUUCUCCUGCAAUGCAAGUCCCCACCUUGAACAUCCAGGCGUCGCCGAUAGAAGUCAUAGCCAUAUAGUAGUUCUGCUGCUUGCCUGUGACCUUGGCGUCCACAGUCCACAAGCACUCCAGGUCCAUCGCUGUGCGCAGUCCACGGCCCUUGUCUUUUAUGAUAACUUCCUCACAGGUGCCCUUAGACAGGCACACCACCGACAGGCGCGGCGUCUCAUGCCCUUUGUUGUCGUGCACGACCAGGUAGUAUCCUGGGACGGAGGGCAAGAGCAGGGACGGAACGCUUGGGACACCCGGGACCAGCUGGGACAGCCUAAUACAGCCUGCGAUAGCCAGUCUCGCCAGUGUACGGCCGGGGCAUGGGUUGGGGAGUUGACUCCCCCCAACCUAAUGUGCCGCACGCAUCGGUAUGUGCACCCAAAAGCGUACGUGAUCGCGAAUCGUUCAUUGCCAUGGGUGGUUGGGCUAAGCUCUUUCCCCAUCCAACCUAACCCAGGGAUAGACAGGGUGGAGCGUCGUGGCUAUCAGGUGUUCAAGGCCCAGGUCAGCCCACGGCCUCGCCCACGCCCGUACCCAAGUUUCGGCUCCGGACCACGCCGUGCAUCUAAGCCGAACUCCCGCCAGCCCGUGCCCAAAGGAUGGCUGACCUGGGAUGGAAGCACCAGCUGUCACCUUGGAGAGGUCGUCCUGCAGCACCAGGAGCGACCACUCCGGGUCGCGCUCAUCGCGGGGCGGUGGCACGUUUGCUGGCUUUGCGAUGGGGGCCUGGUGCCAAGGGUUUGGUCAGGUAGGGUCAGAGCCAACAAAGGGUGGACAGAAAGUUGUCGUUGCUGAUUUAGGACACCAAACCGACCUGCAUUGUAUCAAGGUUAGAUUCAUGAAAUUAGCUUACCACGGGGGGAGCCUCAGAGGAAGCUCCGCAACCCAUCGAGCUGUAGAGCCGUUCGCCUCAACACUGACUACGCAAUUGUAGCAGAUAGCACAAGGUAGCACAAGGGAUGUAUCUUAUGUAAGGCGUCACUUGGGUCCAGUGCUAAGUCCACCAAGGUUGAAUUGACUGUCGUCUGGUCGCCGUCGAACGUCGUAAUCGCCCAAAGUUAUACAGUUGUAUAUGCGUUAGUAUAAUAUCUCUAGCUGCCCCUGGCCACGAAUUCAAGCAUUCGAAAAUCCUUAGCUUUGCCCACUUGCGUGUCACCCGCAUGUCACGUGUGCAGCACCCGCCCAGUACCCAUCUCGCUAACGCUGCGCUCCCCCCUCGCAAACGCCGCGCUCCCCCCUGCUCUAUCGCCUUUGGUCCUGCCUCGGUCCCUCCGCUGCACCUUCUGCCGCUUCGCCUUCUUGGCCUCCCCCCGGGCCGCCUGCACAGCCAAGUUACUGGCAUGCAUACUCGGUGGGAGGGCCCACGGCGGUGCACCCACAUAGCCGCCAGCUGCUCUCCUCGGCUACGCUUUGAGUUUGCCGCUUUUCUCUGCACUUCGAUGACCCACUCCCUGGCACGGUCCCACGGUCUCACAGGAUUUCUGGAAUUUUAGUCCUAUACCUAUUGCCUCCGCUACACCAGGUGCAACGCCCUCCUGUGAAGCGACAGGGCCCCGUACGCUGGUAGCAAGCCGAUGGGGAAUGUCAAGUUUCGCGGCCAGGGGAACGGUAGCCGCGCGGCCUGAACAUGGCGCAUGCAUCCAAGGGCUCGGGGAAGAUGAAAUAGCUCAAUCCCAAAUUGAACUGCAUCCGCAUGCGCCAACAUAGUCGUGCAUAUGGCAACAUUAGCUAGGCAGCAGCACUCCGAGGAGGGAACAUGUGGGUGCCAGCUCCUCGCACAGGCAUUCCGCAAUACAGGACGGCCGCCUCAUCCGCGGCGCCCAUCCCACAGUAACGCGUGAGCACUGCUCCGCACUGAAUCACGGCUCAAUGAGUUCCUAUACAGCCUAUUCCAGCAGUACGGUACGGUGCGCGCGAGGAUUCACGUGCCACCUGAGCGCCAUGCUGGAGAGUGGAGACACCUAACACCGCCGCAACAGUGUGCAACAGUGUGCGUCACACAACCUUGAUGCCUCAGGCCCCAGCGAUGCCGGCCCGGGCGGGCUCCGGCCAGCCCGGUGCACGCACCAGCUCCUUGACCGGCACCGGGCACCUAGCCCAGGCCACGUCGUCUUGCUGCGCCCUGCUGAACGCCGUCUCGGCCGCAAUAGAGCCAUACUGCGCCGCCUCCGCAGCGGCUGCCCGCGCAAGCGCACCACCCGGCACCUGCUCGAAGCGGUCGCCAUGACGAGUCACGCAGAAGCUGGGCUCGCGGGGCGGCGGCUGCCCGUCCUCGCCGGGCGGAGGCGGCGAAGCUCCAGGCGGGUCCAGAGGCGUCGGGUCCGCCACCAUUAGGAAGCUGAGGAUGCCGGCCAGCAGCAGCGGCUGUAGCGGUGAGGAUGUGCAGUAAGUCCGCGGCGUCAUUGGUCAUGCAGUGCAGCAUGGCGGCAUGCGUGCAGGCUCAAUCGGCUGGCAGGCCACAUCUGCGUGCCAGCCAUGCCAUCCGACCAUUGCAAGCCAUUGACGCCAGAACACGCAAUGCACCCAUGCACCCACAACGCACCUCACUCAUCACAGUCUCAGGCGUCAAGGGCGCCUUGUGCAGGCACAGCCGCCGCAGGGAGCGCAGGCCGGCGUGGCUGUACAGCCCCGCCCCCAGCCGCGCCGCGGUGAUGCGCGGGCAGGGUCCCAGCUCCAACUCCUCCAGCUGCGGCGUGGCUUCCGGCAGUAGCACCAGGAGGUCGUUGGCGUCCAGCCGCGCCAACCAUUGGCAGUCCAGCAGCCGCAGGCUGCGCAGCCUGGCCAUGCCGGCAUCCUGAGGUGGGCGAUGGCAAACGGGAUAGCGAUGCCCAGUCAGGCGCAGUAGCCCGCGGUGUGGGUAAGCGUCAGGUGUGGCGGCGCCAGAAAGGGGGGAAGCCAACAGGCACGGCAGUGGCGUGCAGAAAAGUGUUUGGUGGAACAGCCGGAAACCCGGAUGCGUGCGUGUCUUACCUGGAACUGCUGCAGGCCCUCGUGUGCGAAGAAGAUAGCGCCUAGCGAGCAUCAAACACAUUCAUGUUACGUGUCGGCCAUGGAUGCACAAAUGCCAGGUGUACAAGGAAGUAAGAGUAGGACCCCCUUUUGACGCACCCCUCAGCGACAGGUGGGUCAGGUUCCGAAGGCGCUUGAUGUGUUGGAAUAUUCUCCCGCGUGUGUUGAUGACGUCGAUUACCAGCACCUGAAGUUAAAGGGUAAGCGGGAACACAUUGGCGGGAGCGCGUGCUUGCCGUUCCCUUUAACACACACACACUGCGUGUUUCCUUCCCUUGUGCUGCCUUAGAUACACAUACGCACAGCCUCCCUUGCUGAUUUAAACACACAUACCACACGGCAGCCAGCCUCACUCCGUGGAAUGUGGGGCAGGGCCCAUAUUCUGGAGUGCAGACCGGGGAACACUUGUCUGGAGUGCAGACCUUUGUAUCCCACCCUGGCCUGUGCACCCUUCGUGUCGUUGCUCUCGACCCUUGCCCAGAUACUCUCCCUCGCUCUCACGCUCACUCUCCCCACCUGCAGCUUCGGCAGCGCAGCCAGGAAGUCCAGAUGCAUCUCGCCGCGUGCGCCCGCCCCCGACUGCGCCACAUCCCCGUCCUGGCUGUCGGCCACGCCCUCCUGCAGCUGCGGGUCAGCCAGGACCCAGCCGUCCGCGGCGAUGGGCUCAUCCGGGAGGCCGUCAAAAUCGUGGACAGGGUUCUGGAGCGCCUGCAGCACGGCCCUCUCGUGCGUCAACUCCUGGCGGUGCACGUACAGCGCCGUAAGCGAGCCCUGCGGGUCAAGUCAACACCAAGGGCACACAGCACAUGUUGCAAGGAGUGACGACAGCGUUGCGGCAGUGUUAGCAUGCCUCCAGUCAUCAAGACAACGCACGCCCACGUACCAGCUUGCUCAGGCCGUCGAAGCAGCCCAGGCGCGCGGCGUCACCGAAGGUGCCCUCGGUCAUGCCUGCAAGGGCAAGGGAGGAGGUCAUGAUACGUGUUAUAAGCGCGAGAUGGCGAAGAAGGGAGGAUGGUUCUGGAUUACGUGGCAUGCGUCAAAGUGCUCACUCUCCACCUCUGACGCGGCCCGGUGCCGCCUCACCAGCGAUGCGUAGCUCCCUAAGCCCCAGGAUGUUGGCCAGGCUCCUCAACCUGCUGCGCAUGAAGCGCUUGUUGUAGUGCACCACCAGCGAGUGCAUGCGAGGGAAGGGCUCGUGCCCCAAAGGGUCCACGUCGGCCGCCCACGCCGCUCUGAGCUGAGCCGGCUGCAGCUGCGGCGGCUGCGACGUGGAGGGCCCUGUGACCGCCUCUUGCUGCAUCGCCACCUCCUGGCCCAUGGUCUCCUGCAAGCCCUCCGCCAUCGGCGCAUCCGCUGGCUGCACUACACCCGCCAGCAUCUCGGCCCGCUCCCUGUCGCCCUGCUCCAUCGCUCCCACACCCGGAUCCGCACCCGCGGUGCCGCGUGUGCCCUGGGCACUGGGCUCCUUAUCCAUAUCCAUGGCUUCACCGCCGCUACCCGCUGCACAGCUUAACCCCGACCCAGCUGCUGCCUCUUGCUUGACUCCUGCUGCCUCUUGCUUGACACCGGAAGCCCUGUUGCCGGCCCUGCUGCCGCCGGCCAGCCCGCGGCCACGGCCCAGGCGCUGCGCCACGACCGCCAUCACGUCGGCCGCGGCAUCCAGCUCCUGCUGCGGCUGCUGUGUGUCCUUGGCAGGGCCGGGGAUGGGCAGCAGCUCGAAGUCACGGGCGGUGUAGGGCAGGCCCGCGCCGUACAGCCUAACCUGUGGGGGAGGUGGGCGAAGCCAGCGCAGUCCAGCGUGCGCGCGCAGCAGUGCGGAUGUGUGUUGUUUGCAAGUAAGUGUACGACAAGCUGAAAAGAUCGGGCAUGUAAUUCCUAGCUGCGAUCCUAGCCGGGGGCUCCAAGACCAAAGCAGUUUGCGGGGCCAACGCAUGCCUGCUGCACGCAUGUGGAUAUUGUGCCACUCACAUUGUGCAUGACCAGGUACUUGAGCUGCGGCGCCACCAUGGGCAGGUCACGGAGCAGCAGGUCGCCCGCCUGCUGGAACUUCUCAGCCCGGCUGCAGCAAACACACGGCGGGGCAAGCGUAGAGCAAGAGCGAAGCAGGAGGGAACGGGACAUGGGCCAGGUCAGAGCGAGCUCAGGGCAGUUCGGCAUGUAGAAUUGCCACAGGCAACCUGUUACAGGGCGCAUGCGCCUAUCGCCGCGGCGCACACGGCACGCUGCGCCAGCUCACCGGGUCCACGACUUCCAGCCCGAAACGUCUAGCCCCUCCAGCUGCACACGGCUGCACACGUGCGCCAGCAGCGCCGGCUGGAUGCAGUCGCGGUCGGCCGCCGUCAGCUCCAGCCGUCGCAGCCGGGCGCCCAACGACGCGAUGCUCAGCAGCAUGGUGGUGGAGCGGCAGCGGGCUGCGCGCAGGUGCGUCAGGCGCCGCAGCGGCGCAAGUGUGGCACCCCCAAGCUUGUUUGCACUGCAAGAGGAAGCAGAGCACGGUCCGUAAGACCAUCAGGGCAGCAGUGCACGGUUGCUAAACCGGACGGAAACACAAUACCGUACUGCAGCCGUUUGGGAUGCAGAAGUUAGGGGUACAGGACCAGAGUCAGCUGUCAAAGUCAGGGUCAGGGUCAGAAUCAGGGUCAGAGAGGGUCAGAGUCAGGGUCAGGUCCCCAUGCUACCAUGCCGUCAGGCCCCUGCCGCCCUAGCCGCUUCCGUCCUAGUCGCUUGCCUUUGGUCUCUGGAGAAGCUGACGUCCAGGACCUCCAGCGUGGCCCCCAGGUCUGCCAUGAGCGCGUUCCAGGUGGCGGCGUUGAGCCGCCUGCUGGGGAACUGGAAGGCCAGCUGCGUCAGGCCCGACAGCGCCAGCCCCAUGGCCGUGACGUCGUCAUUCAGCAGCUCCUGGUUGCGGAUGUGCAGGCAGCUGCGAGACGGGAUGCAGCGGCGCGGGACAAGGCGAGCAGGGGGCCAUUCAUCAAGAAGAAAGCUCAAGCGCCGUCCAUAGGAGCGUGGCCGGAGUGAUGAUGCCCCAAACACAGGCAGUUUGUUCCAAACGAUCGUGGCUGCUGACACAAGCAUCAGUAUGGAGAAAUAUCCGGCCGCACCUGAGGUUGGGCAGGGAGCCAACCGCGAGGAGCCCCAGCAGCGGCAACCCGCCAAUGUACAGCCGCCCUGCAGGACCGGCACCCGCACCCGCACCGGCACCAGCUCCAGCACCGCCAUCAGCGAGCGCACCGGCGGCUCCGAGUGCGCCCUGAGCCCCCGCCGCCGCAGCCAGCGCCGCCGCUGCGGCCUCCAUUAGCGCCUCCAUAUCGGCUCCCGCCGGAUCAUCAGCAGCCGCUACCGCCGCCACCGCUUCCGCCGCUUCCGCCACUGCCGCUGGCACAGGUGCGGCCAGGGGCAUGACCCCAGCGGCCUGAAGGACGCUGACCAUAUCUAUCUCCACAUGCAGCCCCACCUCCAGCCGCCGCAGCCCUGACAUGGCCGGCAACGCCUCCGCCAGCGCCGCAGCCAGCUGCACCUCGGGCAGUGACACCCAGAGCCGAGCAAAGCGCACUUCCUCAAUCCUGCUGAGCAGGCUGUACAGCCUGACGAUGGCGGAGCCCUCAUUCCAGGACGCCGGCGGCGGCUCAGGGUGCGGCCUGACACAGUUGAGCGCGAGGCAGGUGAGCGUCGUGAGCUGGGACAGGGCGGCCAUGUCCGAGUGACGCAGCUGCAUGCCCGAGGCGUCCAAGUGCCGGAGCUGCCCCCUGAGGGGCAGCAGCAGCGCCAGGCCCUGCCCGCCCAGGUCCUGGUGCGAGAUGUUGAGGGAGGUCAGGCUGGGGAACUGGCUCACCAGCCGCGCAGGCUCGCGCAAUGGUGCCAGAUACUGUGAGGAUGGAAGUGGCGGUGGGGGUAAGUCUAUCACAGGGGGAGGGCGCGCAGCCAUGUAGGUCCGUUGCGGCGGCACAUCGUAAUGGGCAGGGCCGAAAUGGAGAUCAAGCAUGGAACACGCCGCACCAGCUGCCAAGCAGCGACAUGGCCUUGCACAGCGACAAGUUGCCGCCGCCCUCCCAGACCGCUCGCCCACCUUGAAGCCUGACACAGGCAUGGUGCGACGCAGCGGCGCAUCCAGCACCUGCACCUGGUCCCACGUCCGCCCCUGCGCGGCCUCGCCCAGGCUGCUGGGCCGCAGGCGCCGUUGCUGCGGCUUAAGCACCCUGUACCAGGCGGUACAGGCGCUCAUGAGGGCGCCGCAGAUGGUGGCGUCGGGGUUGUCGGGGGCUAGCAGGGCGGCGCCCACUGUGGCGAUGCGGACGACCAGCUCGUCAGGCAGGGCCGUCCAGUCGCGCGACGGCUGCAUCAUGGCGAGCGCCCGGUCGUGGGGCGUGCCCUGCUCCAUGUAUUGGUCCUGUGGAGGGGUCGGAGGUGUGGAGGGUUGCAGGGUGGGGGUGCACGCGCGGCAACUGCAUGUGAGGCAGGGCGUGGGUGGGAUUGCAGCUCACGUGGCCGGCGACGAUUGCCUCCGCCGGCGGCCAGUCCGGUUGUAGCUUGAGCAGCUGGGACUCCGCACUGUGUGGGGGUAAGUGCGCGCCAAACCGGAGGUCGUGUAUGUCCAAGGUAGGCUCUCCUGUCAACUAGUUCACUGACUACGCUUACGUGUCUUCAAGAUGAACCCUCAUAAGCACUGUGCGAGCUUCAUCCUCCAUGCUGGUGGGCCAAUCUCGCUCGAUAUGUAGGCCGUUCAGCCUGAGAUCUUCAAAGAGGGCUCAUUUGCAGAUUAUUGUUUUGCGGAGGAUUCUUUUCAAAAAGCGAGUCGGCGUCUACAAAAAAUUAUCGACUCAUCUGGCCUGGUGAUGUGGAUUCGACUGUAUAAACAAUUUGCGUUACCCCGGACCUUGCACUGCAAAAGCUGAUGCAGCUGUGAAACAUGCCAGCGUCACCAAUCACCUGUGCGAGCCGGAUCCGUGCUGUGCGGUGGCAAUCGGCCUCCCGCACUCGCAAAGUCAGUAAAAUAUGUGUCCCCGCCACCAGCAGCGGCAAUUUCAGUGGGCUGAAGCCAUAUAGGGAGUCGACUUCGAAUUGUAGCGACAGCCCUGACAGCGCAGCUCAAGAAUACAUACGUAUGAAAUACAAUGAACGCGCCGCCAAGCGCUUGGUGUGAUUAUUUUCCAGCAUCAGAAUUCAGUCCAAAGGAUAGGCGCGCCCUGCUGAUAGACGACCUCCUAAAAUUCUUCACCAGCGAUGCUGGCUGCUCUUUCGUCCAGGCGUUGCGGCCGUCGCGCGUGAACGGUUGCUAUGUGCUCCAGGUCGACUAUGCCGACCUUGAAACCAAAUCGGGUUUGCCUGAUGUGCCGGCUGCGCUCGACGGCUCGCCCGUGGAGGCCCUGGGCUGCGUGGCCGUGGCCGCACACGAGGUACAGCUCAGAAUGCGACCUGUCUAAGGCUGAGCUCAUGGGCAAAUGCAGCCUACUUCUCUCAUGGUGGCAUAAAUUAAGUAGACGUUGAUAUGUUCAGCUGCGAGGGGGCAGCGCAGGGGUGCAGUGUGGCUGAUUGUUCCUGGCGUGCACACCACAGGCGGCGUUUAAGCACGGCAAGGGGCGGCUCGCAGAUGGGAUCUCGGCGGCCCCCAUGCAGAGCGGCGCCACGCAUACAGCCCCGGGGGCAGCUAACGGCGUGCCGCCUCCCGGCCGCGUCAUGGUGCGACUGUACAACCACCCCGCCUCCCUAACCCACAUCCGCGCCCUGAAGUCGAGCUCCAUUGGUACGUGGCUGCUACAUACUUGGACCUGGUCCCUGCAGAAGUGCAGAGGGUAUCGCAGCACCUCACACAGCGCACCAUUGCAUCCCUCUCAUUCCCAAUCAUCAACGUGCCAUAUCACACUAGCCGACAAGUAGCUUACACACGUCUUCGCAGGCAAGCUGGUCACCCUGCGCGGCACGGUCGUGCGCAUGACCCCCGUGCGGCCGUUGGUGACCCAUAUGGACUUCGUAUGCGCCAAGUGCGGCUCCCGCACCACACAGGCCUUCACCGACGGCGUGUAUGCGUUGCCCACUAAAUGUGCUGGUGAGUGCUGUGAGUUGUGCUGCUGCAGACAGGGCCGCGAUUGCGCUGGUAUUUGGUGCUAGUGUGAACAUGUUGCUCGGCUGGGAGGAAGGCGCAACAGAGUCUGCGUGCACUCUGCCCCAACACGCCGGCCAGGUGACGGCUGCCGCAGCCGGACCUUCGCGCCACACCGUGCCUCAGCCCGCUGCGUGGACUGGCAGAAGAUUCGGUUGCAGGUCAGUUAGAGUGGUGCUGAAGCGGGUAGCUGGCGGCAGUGUCGGGCAGCCGAGGCUUGACACCGCAUCCGCCCAGUGCCGCUUCUCUCAACCACCAGUCCGCAUGUUGUUCGACGAUUUGGGUCACAUGUGGUGAUGUGGGGCCUUGCAUACUUACACGCUGCUGGUGCUACCGCCGCCGUUGUUGCCACCGCCGCAGGAGCUGCUGGGUGCUGACAAGGCGGCUGAGGGGCAGGUGCCCCGCAGUGUGGAGGUGGAGCUGUCCGGUGACCUGGUGCACGGGGCGGUGGUGGGCGACGUGGUGACGGUGGUGGGCAUCGUCAAGGUCAUGGCCACAGGGGACGACCUGGGUAAGCACAGGGGGGAGCAGGGAGGGUGGUGGUGGACAGGUGGGUCGGAGUGGAGCUGCACCAGGAUCUGCAUACCGUGAAUCACCUACACUCCCGAAAGCGUCAUGGCCGGGAACGAACUGUAAUGAAUUUGUUUGACGACCGUAGAUAUGCAGAGCAUCCUGAGUCCAGGCGCUUACCUUUGGAGCCAUUGCAGGCAAGUUCGCGGCGACCGGCAGCGUCAAUGGCGGUGGGCCUCCUGGCGGCCCUGGUGGCUUUCAGGGCGGUGGGGGAGGUGGUGGUGGCGGCGGCGCUGGCGGCUCCCGCAACGGCAGCUCCCUGUUCCUCAUGUACCUGGAGGCUGUGUCGCUGAGCUGCCCCAGGCAGCAGCUGCAGGGAGAGGUGAGUGCGUGUGGGCACAGCGCCUUGGGCGCCGCUGCCUCCUUAGUGAUGCGCUCCACCUUCCGUUACGCCAUGUGCUGCGGCCAUUCCGCAUGCGGCACCAACACAACGCUGGUCCGCUCAUCAGUCCUUGACUUACAGCCGUGCCCCGUAAAUGUGCGGCCCGGCGCGGCGCACGCAGGUGCCGCUGUUGGGCGACAGCAGUGCCGCGGGCGGGCUGCCGGGCUCCACCUCCCUGCCGUCGUUCAUCACCCGGGACCUGGCGUUUGUGGUCAAGUUUUGCGAGGUGGGUCCGGCACGCACAUUGGCGCUUCGGCGAACCUCAAGCCUUUGUUGUUGCUUAGGCUUCCACUGUGGUUGGAUUCUCGCAGCCGGCGGGUCAACAAGUGCUCCUAGAACCUAUCUUCCCAUGCGCUUCGCACCGGACCCCAUCAGGGCAACCCUUCCCGGCAUGCGCCCUCUGCCCCCUUUCUCCCUCUCUCUCUCCUCCCCGACUUCCAUGCCUGCCCACUGCGCCCAUGUAGACAUUCGGCGGCGACCAGCUGCGGCAGCUGGUCCACGCGCUGUGCCCCUCCAUCUACGGCCACGAGCUGGUCAAGGCAGGCAUCGUGCUGGCGCUACUGGGGGGCGUGCGCAAGCACACAGGGGCUGAGGGAAGCGGCGGAGCCGGAGCCGGGCCGGAAUGCCAGCCGAGGGCGGGGCGAGUGCCGGUGCGCGGUGACAUCCACGUGCUGGUGGUGGGAGACCCCGGCCUGGGCAAGAGCCAGCUGCUGCAGGUGAGCGGCUGGGUUUGGGUGGCUCUGACCAUACCCAAGAAGCAUGCAUUAAAGGAAGACGAAGUCCAGUAGACCCAUGUGCACAUUGAGCAAUACGGUUGGGGUGAGAGAGCAUGGGCAUGACUUGAGCGCAGGGCUGCAUCAGCUGUAAACGGCUGCAAAGUUUUAUUCUGGGUGGGCAGGUGCGCGGCUGGAUUAGGGUGGGGGUGCCAUGGUACCCCAUGAGUAUUUGGUCAGAGGUACCGGUAUAGGAAGACCAGUACGCUCUUAUGCAAAAGGGUGCAUUUUGUUUGAGCGCACGACUUGUGACAGCCGCACACACUCCACACUCUUGUCGUGUCCCCAGGCCGCAGCCGCAGCGGCGCCUCGUGGCAUCUACGUGUGUGGCAACACUUCCACCUCGGCCGGCCUCACAGUCAGCGUGGUGAGUGCAAGGGGCCAUGCGGUACAGUUUGCAAGCUCCCCUUGCCCUUGGUACCGCUCCCGCACAACCAUGGCGAGUUUUAGUAAACGGUGUUUGCGGUUCCGUGAGCUUGCGCUUCACAUGUUGUAAUAGGAUGUCUGGCGGUGCAGCCACAGCUGUCACUGUGCGCCGGGCCAAAAUGUGCUUGCGGGCCUCCAGCAAGAGCCGAAGCAGCCUCAGGACGUGUGCCGGGAGCUCUGCAGUAUGCAUGUGCCGCCAGCUGCUGCGACCCGUACCACUGCCACUGCCGCACAGGUCCGUGACGCCGUCACUGGCGAUUCAGUCCUGGAGGCUGGUGCGGUCGUGCUCAGCGACUGCGGGUGAGCUCACACAUUCUUGGAAAUAUAAACACAGACGCAUGUCGGCAUGUGUGUUCACACGCGCUGCGGCUCUAGACACUCUCACCUCCUUGCCGGCGCCCUGGCGCUGCAUCUUGCAGCCUGGUGAGCACCUGCAUUCCCUACGCCUGCUUGACGACUGCAUGGCACCCGCGCAGGCUGUGCUGUGUGGAUGAGUUUGACAAGAUGACGAACGAGCACCAGGCGCUGUUGGAGGUCAUGGAGCAGCAGGAGGUGGGGUAAGGGGGCUUGCACCGCGGGGGUUGCACGCACACGCCGAAUGAGGCGCCGGAGGGUAUGUAUGCCGGCAGCGGAUGCGAGGCGGCAGGUGAUCGCUGCCCAGUAGUGCACCUCCCACCGACCUACCCACAACCGUUUGUGCCAGUACCUACUGCUACUACUGCUGCCACUGCUGUUACUCCGGGUCCUGCUCCUGCUGCAGGUGAGUGUGGCCAAGGCGGGCCUGGUUGCAAACCUGCCGGCACGCGCCUCCAUCCUGGCCGCAGCCAACCCGGUGGGCGGACACUACAACCGGGCCAAGACACUGGCGGAAAAUCUAAAGGUACGUGGGGGUAGGUGCGGCUGCUGGGCUGCGUGUGCAUAGCUUCAGCUCUCUGCACCCUCAUCUGCGCGGCUUUAGCUGCUUACAAGGCCCACGCACAUUGCAUCAUGGGCCUCUGCAGCACCGUGACCUGCGGUAUUGAUGCUUUCCUCGCAGGGCACCUCGCCCGCCAUGCUGAGCCGUUUCGACCUGAUCUUUGUGCUGCUGGACCGGCCGGAUGAGCAGCUGGACCAGGCGUUGAGCGAGCACGUCAUGGCGCUGCACAGCGGUGAGCGCAGGGAGGAGGGAGGAGGGAGGAGGGAGGAGGGACUACAUGUGUCCUAGCCAAACGAAGGGGCCCCGUGGUCAUCGGACUGGGGGCAGGCGGGGAGCGUGGCCGCGUGGUAGCACAAACGGGAAUACCGUAACAUAGGGCAUGCCUCGCGCGCCAUAUGACAUGCUGGCGUGUCUGCGGCGAAAUCACCGCCACCGCUGCAGGCAUGGCGGACCGCGCGGACAAGGCGCGGCAGCGACUGCUGCAGUACGGCUCCUCCGCGGGGCCGGUGGGGCUGCUCACGGCUGGCCCCUCAGCCUCGGGCCUGGGCGGCCCCAGCCAGUCCUACGGCGGUGGCACACAGGCUGGAUUCGGGGCCACACAGGCCGGCGGUCCGGGUGGUCCUGGUGGCGGGCGGGUGCCGCUGUCGCAGCGGCUGAAGCUGUCGGGCGCCGAGGGCGACAACGCCAAGCUGCCGAUACCGCUGCUGAAGAAGUACGUGCAGUACGCGCGGACGUACUGCCAUCCGCGCCUGUCGGAAGAGGCCAAGCAGGUGCUGCAGGUAAGUGAGCCGGGUGGCCUGCACGGGCUUUGGGUGGGGAUUGUGGCAGGUAUGGGCGUUCGUCAUUUUGUAACUUAAGAGUGACCCGAGUUUGGUUGCAUGUCCAAUAUCUUCCUUGCCUGCAGGCCUUCUACCUCCAAAUGCGGGCGCAGGCGGUGCCGGGCUCCAAGAACCCUGUCACGGUAUGGAUGUGGCAGUGGACUGGCAUGGGCGGCGUCUGGCGUGUUGUCAAGCUGAAUCAGUGAAGGGCCUAUUUGAUGCAUAGCAACAAUUGAGCGACACGUGCGGCACGCACAGGCCCGGCAGCUGGAGAGCUUGGUGCGGCUGGCGGAGGCGCGGGCGCGAGCGGAGCUAAGGCCUGUGGUGGAGCGAAGCGACGCGGAGGUGCGCAUCUGCGGUUAACAUUGCCUGCGUCAAAAUGACUGCCUAUGUAAGCAACCGCUGUCUUUCAGGGGAGCUUUUCGAGCACCACACCCCGUGCCUCUGACUGCCUGACGUCCCUACACCCCUCCGCCCCUCCUCACCCCACACACGCGGUAGGACGUGGUGGACCUGGUGCGCGAGGCGCUUUACGACCGCUUCGGGGCGGACCUGGCACUGGGCUGCACCGACUACCGCGCAGUGAGUACCGCGAGUACGAGGGCAAGUGCCGCCGUCGCCUGUGGUCUGUGGUGAUGCCGCGGAGGGAGGCCUCUCAGCCUUACCAACUGGCAUUGCGGUGAUGUUAGGGAGAGGUUCUGGUCUUCAGUGCCCUCCGUUCAUGCCGCGUGGUUGUGGCAGUAACGGCACGCUGGUUUUGCAAAAUCCUCCAUAGUCGGUAACAAUUCGCCUUCUGAAUGCAGGGCGGCGGCCGCGCGGGCAGCCGCGGCGCCGAGACGGCCCGCUUCAUGUCCGCACUGCGACGCCAGGCGGAGCGCGAGGGCCGCUGCGUGUUCUCCUCCGCCGAGCUUUACAGCCUGGCCAACGAGCUCAGCCUGGCGGUGCGGGACGUGGCGGCGUUCGUGGACCAGCUCAACGAGUCGGGUAGGUGGUUGGGGAGGGUUAAGAGGGCUUGGUGGGUGGGAACUGGGAAGGAAGGCUGUGGGUUUCGGUGUAAUGCCGGAUGAACGGAGACCCGAGGUAGCCUGCAGCGCCAGCGCGCCUCGGGUGUAAUGUUGCUUCCGUUACUAAUGCUCGUGUGUACUGCGCAGGCCAACUGCUCAAGCGCGGCGGCGGGCAGUACAAGGUGGAGGGGGUAUCGCUGCCCAGCGCUUCCAACCAGGGCAACGGCAGCGUAUGCUUUUAGGUAAAGGCUGGCACGAGCAUGUGACGCAGGGGUACUUGGAGGAUUGUGAAAGUUGUGUGUCAAGCCAUGGGAGUGCGGCAAACAGGACUGGCAGCAUGCAUAGUGCAGAGUGGGAGGGCAUAUGAGCAAGGCAAAGUGGUAGACUGAGAGAGAAAGUGACGGUGGACGUAGCAGGAUGUGGUGCGUGUUUCAAUGCUUGCGCGCGUGCGGAGCGUUGUUAGCAUUGUCUUCUAACAGCAUAUGCAGGCCAGAUGCUUGCCAGGAUGUGUCCUUUCAAGUCUCCGCCGGUGAAAUGGCACGUUUCACCAGCGCCGGGCAAUGAUGGUUCGGCGCGGCGGCACGAAACCCGCUGGUCGCCAUAUCAAGCUUUCAGUGUGCAACUGCAUAAUACGUGUAGGUGCUACAAAUGAUUUGCUAUGCGCCACAUUUGUAACAUAGUUUCCCACUCCGACGAUGCAACCUGUUCCAGCGGGCGCUGAGCGAACCGUCUUUCGUGCCAUCCGCGAUCCUUACCAAGGGUAUCAAGCAAAGCGUCGUCAGGAUGCACUUCAGAGACAGAAAGUCGCACGUCUGCAGAGCGCUAAUCGCGCGCGAACAUUGGUACAGGAGCCAGGGCAGGUGAGCUGAUUGGCAUUAUUUUAAUGACGGAAUUAUACGUUUUCAACUCAUCACCUAAGGAAAGGGUGUAUGGUGAAACCCGAUGCCGGCGAGCAUGUCACUUGCGCAACCAAAAUACCCCAUACAACAGGAGGAGAGUGAGUCUGGGCUAGAUGUGGAGGUUGACGAGGAGCGGGGGCCGCAGGAGGACGAGCCCAUGGAGGCCUCCACCUCGUCUGCUACUGCCGCCCGGGUACCCGGCAGCAGUGGCCGCGCCCGGCGCAAGGGCAGCGCGGCGGGCAAGCCUGUGCGCAACGGCGGGGUGCGGGCGUACGGGCAGCAGUACGGCAACGAGCUGAUGCAGCCGGAGUGGAUGACGGAUGUGCCGGUGGACCUUGGCGGCAACUGGUGGGUGCGCGGGCCUCAAGACGGCGGGUGGGAAACAGCUGGGGACAGCUUCGUCGAACGUGCUGGCGAGGCCUGGGCCGUAGUUCAACAUACAUGUUGUACAUCGUGCAAUGGUUGACUGAGCGCUCUAUGGGUGAUGCUGGGUGGAUGCAGGCUGGUAAUGCCGAGGCCGGAGGGCAUGCGCUGCCUGCUGGUCACGGCCAGGUGAGGCUGUGUGCGUGCUGAGGGCAGACGGCAGUGGGGACUGGGCUAUGGGGACGGUGGACGGUGGCGUUGUUCAUUGGGUCUGGACGGCUGGGUGGAAUAGGCACACCAGGCAACUUUGUCCUCGAACAGGCCCGGCUUUGACCUGACCGUGCGCGGCACACCUGAAAGCUGCGGCGCACGUUAGCCACGACUCUCAGAUGUGCCUCCUCCCCCACUCCCUUCCUGCUCUCCCUCCCUGACAUGUAUUCAUCGGUCUUCAGGGGCCGCACCGUUUCGUGGCUGCGUAACGGCUCACCGCUGCACCGCUUCCACUGCGCACUGCCCGGCGGCUCGCCAGGCACAGCCGCCCGCUGCGGCGGGGCCGCGGGCGCCUCCGCUGCGGCCGCCGGCUUGGGCGGCUCUGGCGACUACUGCCUCCUGGACUGCAUCUUCCACCCGCCCAACAACACCUACUACAUACAGGUGAGGCCGCUACGACAUAACCUGGACCAAGUACUGCAGCGCCACCACAGCCUUCGGACUCAGCCGGAUGCAACUCGUGGCCGUUUGCGCCGCGCCCUGCGUACUCUUACUGCCGGCCACCAGCUACUUUACAUUGCGCGUGCUGCUGAUGAUUUUACACUACGCUCAUGUGCUCCCACGCCGUCAGGACCUGCUGUGCUGGCGCGGCUAUGCGCUGUACGACUGCGCGGCGGAGUUCCGGCAGUACUGGCUGGCAGCCAAACUGGCGGAGGAGGAGGGCGGAAGGCUGAGGGAGCUGCUGGCGCAGGUCCAGCCGCCUCCUCCGCCGCCACCGCCACCACCGCGUGCAGGGGCGUCAGCAGCGGCCGGAGCGGCAGGGGAGCAGGGCGGGAGGAGGCAGCGUCCAGGGAGGGAAGGGCGAAGCGGGAGAGGCGCAGGCCGGCAAGGCGGUGCCGCUGGCGACGAAGACGUCAGCAUGGGCGGUGCGGGCGAGGACGGAGUGGAGGCGGCGGGAGCGGAGGAUGAGCCGUACGCGCCGCUGGCCACUUUUCGGAUUGUGGCACUGCCGGUGCAGCCCUGCACGCAGGAGGGUCUGCGGGCGGCAUACGGCGACCCUGCACAGAUGCUGGCGGCCGCAGCUGCGCUGGCGGCUGGGGCUGGGCCAGACGCAGGAACAGGCUCGGGCGACUUGGCCAUGCAGGCCGACACACAUAUUGGAGCACCGGCGUCCGCUCCUGCACCAUUAGCAGCCGCGGGGCAGGGGCAAGCGGAGGUGGCAGGGGCGGCUGUGGACUUCAUGCGUGAUGGGUUGUACCUGCUGCACCGGCAGGGCCACUACGUGCCGGGGCCGACGCCCAGUCCGCUGGCGCUGCUGUGGAAGGACCUGGGCUGCAGCAGGUGAGGAGCGCGGGCGGGCGGGAGGUCGGGGCUCAAGUGCUGCGUGUGAACUGCGCGUUGUAAACGGCUUCACGUGCCGGCAGACUCUGGGAAGAAUUAGCCUUGGACGCCCACUGACGCCCACUGCGCAGGUACCUGAUGGACACAGACAACAAGGGUCUGCCGCUGGAGCACCAGGUGUGGCGAGGGGUCUGGCGAGGCUGUGGCGAGGGGUGGGGUGAGGGGUGGAGUGAGGGGCGGGGCGAGGGGCGGGGCGAGAGGUGGGGCGAGGGGUGGGGCGGAGGUGGGCCGAGGGGUGGGGAAAGGGGCGAAUGUCUUUGGCAAUGGGGUUUUGGGGCUGGAGGUUGUGUUUUCAUUUCCACAGGCGCCCCUACACAGGUACGGGGGUUUAUGAGAGCCAAACCCAUAGUGCGCUGGGCUGCAUUGCAAGUACGGGGUGUGUGCCUGUGCCUGUUAGUGGGCUGGCGAGGAAGAUAGAGACUGCCGGAGGCUGCGGCUAAGUUAGCGCUAAGAAUCAAGCACACAGGGGAGCGAUGCUGUCAUGUCUGUAAUCUUCAUGCACAGUACUUAUCAACCUGAUGCCAACACGCACGCAGCAAGUCAUCCUCGCGUACCGGGCCGACCGCACCGUCGCCACCGAGGUAAGGAGCAGACCCUGCGCACUCUCGGGAGGAAUGCGCCUGCCUCAAGCUAACCGUCUAGCCCUCGUGUCGUCCAUGGGUAUCUGCCCGGUGGCUCCAAACCUGCCUCAGUUUACUCACCCUGUUCCAUGUCAUGCGUUGUUCCGACACCGCCAACCUGCACAGGACGACCCGCCUGUGGUGCUGGGGAAGCUGCCGGAGGCGUUUGCCACGACUGCGGGCGAGCGGCUGGGGUUGAAGCCUGGGCGGCUGCUGCGCUUCUCCAUCAAGCAGGUACGGCCUUGGUGGCCGACCCAUGUGAUGGCGCUCCCUGCGCAUGCAAGCACCGUGCCUUGGGUGCGCCGCAUCUACAGCCCGGCCAGGGGCACUCCUGCGCCCGGCUCAAUCUCCUCCCCGUUAUUUUCCUCCCCUGCAAUGCUGUACUGUGCCCAUCUUUUGUUCUGCACCCGUUCUUCCUGGAUCUCCAACGCUUUCCCGACAGGGUGGCAUCACCUUUCACGAGGGCCGGCCCUGCGGCGCCGACCUGCACUUUGAGGGCACAGUGCCGCAGCGCCGCGGCCGGGCGGAUAGCUUCUCCAAAAUCAUGUUCCAGCGCCUGGUGAGAGUCUGGCGGGCUGGGUGGGCAACGUGCACGCUAAGUGUUUGGCUGAGUAAAGGCAGGAUGCGGGACUGGUACGUGGCCUAAAGGAGCUUAUGUCCGCAGCCGUCUGCCGGCUGGCCGCCGCUCUUCAGCCACGAGGCUGCGCGACGCGUGGGCAGCGGCGUAUUUUGUGGCCCAAGUUGCAGCACACGCUAUAAUGCAGUGUGUCGCUGUGAUCACGACCGCGUACCACACUUGUCCUGCAGGCGCGGACUGCGCCGUUGUCCAUUUCUGACCUGGAGGGCGCCCUGCUGGCCUCGGCAUCCGCGGAGUGCGUGCUGGGUAUGGACUCCAUGUCAUAAAGGGUGGCACUCGCAGGCACUGGUAGGGGCUUCCAGGUUCUUGAGGUUGGUCGCAACCGUACAAGUGUGUGGUAAAUAUAGGUCGCAGCAAUACAAGAAUCUGCAGCUAAACUGCGUCGAUUGGCUGAGUGCUGAGGCAAGAGGCUGCGUGCUCUGGCGUGCUGCAACUGGUUUUUGGCACAUCCAACCGUGGCGGCAUGUGUAGUAGAGGGGGCAGGCAAGGCCACGUGGAGGAGGAGAGCGCGGCGCCGCCCGAGAAGCUGCGCCGGUGCGCAAGUUGAGACCUGCCGGUGUUUGGUCUGCGGUCUUUGCUGGCAAGCAAAGCGUGGCACGGUGGGGGGUUGGAUUUAUUGCUGUUUAGUUUGCGUGUGCUUAACAGCGGGACGCGGCUGGACACAUGGCGGGCGUGCCUGAUCAAACCGCCCCCCCGGCUAUAGGAGAAAGGUGGCGCGGGCAGGUAGCCGAUGUAACGAGGAACGGUAGCGGAACAGUCCGAGAUGAGGUAGACGCUUGCGGCCUCACACUGGAGACGCGGCGUGGGCUCAGCCCCUUUUCCCGUGCCCGGGGAACACUUGUCCCUUGCGGGAUUUGUCUGUCCCAUUUGUCCCGCCAUUUUGUCACCUCGCAGUCAGCUGCAGCUCGCUCCCUCCCUCCUCCCUCCUCCCUCCUCCCUCCUCCCUCCUCCCUCCUCCCUCCUCCCUCCUCCCUCCUCCCUCCUCCCUCCUCCCUCCUCCCUCCUCCCUCCUCCCUCCUCCCUCCUCCCUCCUCCCUCCUCCCUCCUCCCUCCUCCCUCCUCCCUCCUCCCUCCUCCCUCCUCCCUCCUCCCUCCUCCCUCCUCAGCUGCUGUUCGCGCAUCAUGCUAAGCGGCAAGAUCCCGUUGUGACGCUCCUGCCAUCUGGGUUGCGGGCUUGAGCACCAGGCCGGGCGCCCGCAAGCCCAACGGCAGCGCGUGGCGGGCGCCGGCGGCUAUGCGGCCUUUUGAGCUGGCUUCACGUAAGCACCAGCACAGCCUCCCGCCAAGAAUGCUCGGGAGGCAAGGCGGCAGCCAACUAGAACCCUAGCUGGACCGCUGACUCGCCAAACACCCAAUUAGCGCUGCUUCUGGGCCCAUUGCAUCAUUGCCGAGCGCUUGAGUCCCCCCAUCGCUCGCCAGCGUCCCACGGACCUGCACCGAGUCCGUGUUGGUGAUGUCCACGCGCUGAAAGCCCGCGUUGGACAGCUCAGGCCGCCUCUCGACUGCUGCCUUGAAUGAAUCAUCGCUGCGGCUGGCCACCGUCACCUUCAGGUUGGGGAAUUCCUUGAGCAGCGUGGCCGCAGUGGAUGAGCCCACGCGACCAGUGCCCCCUAUCACCACAACCGACUUAUCGGGCACAGGACCCGUCGCACAUACCACAUGCGCUGCGGCCCGGCGGGCGCAGGGCCGGGCGACGAGUUUGGCACCCUGGCAUCGUGCGCCUGUGGCUUGUGAGGUGUUGGCCACACGACGCAUGGUGUGAGACUGGGUCUAGAGUGCCGAUGCACGUGCACUCGCAUGCGCAAUUCAGUUCGAUGUUACCUUACCCCACUCAGGUCCGAAGUAUCCGAAUACAAUAUGCGUAACCCAGGCAGCCGCCCGCCCGUCCGCUUAUGCACGUGCACUCGCGUGCGCGCGGUUUGCAAAUGCAGUUGGAUGUUACCUUACCCUACUUGGGUCCGAGAUAUCCGAAUACAACAUGCGUAACCCAGGCAGCCGCCCGCCACAGCUGCAACCAGCCGACUUGAAACUACCGUGCAAGACAAGAAUGCCGCUGCGAUGUCCGAAACCAGGCUUCCACUCAGGUCAAUGUGCCUACGACUGCCAUCUUUGCCCAAAUACAUCUAAACCCGCCCGCCCACGCAGUCAUCUAGACCCGGAUUAAGGGGGCACCUUGCUAUGAAGCCUACGCGGCGUCAGUCAGACACAUGUCUAGCCCGCUCUUACCGUAACCCCAAAGCCCGCACCAAGUCCAGCCCGGCAGCUUCUCGAUAGCUACUCAGGCUGCCUUACCGGCCUCUACGGCUGUACGGCUCUACCAGUAGAUCAUGCCACCGAUCUGCUUGAUCUCACUCUCCAGAGCCCACGCCGACCUGUUCAGCUCGAAGCGGGAGCAGCCAGUGGCCGCGAACUGCAGGAAUUGCCGACGGUCCUGUGGAAGCAGGGCGAGCAUAACAUGCGGCCCAAAAAAUCAGUCCGCGGGGUGGCAAACCGACUCUGCACCGUCGUGCCUGCUGUCCAGGAACAAGAUCAGUGUGUGUGUGGCCUGACGGCACGAAAGCUGCCCAUGGUGCCCGUGAUGUAUUGUCCUGCGGGCGAGUCCCAAACCCGCCCGAGCCCAACCUGCCUGCCCCCUCGGGCCCCUCGCCCACCUGCAGCGCCUCCUUCUCCUCGGGGUACCACACGCCCGGCUGUGUCUUGCCCUGCAGCACCGACUGCGCGAAGGCGGCCGUGCUGUAGCCCAUGGACUGCGACAGGUACUUGUGCACGAAGAUGCCGCUGCUGUUCUUGCCGCCCACCAUGUCCACCUCCACACGCAUAGCCUUCAAGGGGUUCCGGGAGAAAGGAAAUUAAGAGAACCCAACCCCAACGUAUGCUGGGCUGCACUGCAUGUUCUUGAAGUAGGGGGAGAGGGCAGCGGCUUGCUCAUGCGGCUCGCAGCCCUAUUAAAGCUUGACAUUGCUGCACAGAUGCAGCCACAACAAGCGAUCCCUCCUACGGUAUUUCUCCGACUCCUUCCCUCACAUUUCUCUUCCCAGCCCCGUCGUGUGCGCAUGCCGCCGUGCUAACAACUGCGGCGCAGCUUCCUUUACAACAUCUUUUCCUUCCCUCGCACUGCACUGCUCACCACAGCCUCGCCGAUAAUCUUGUCCACGUUGCGGACGAAGGGGUCGGACAGCUUGGCGAAGCCCUUGACGAAGUUGCGGUCGUUCAGCAGGCUGCGCGGCACCAGGCGCGCCGUGAGCCACAUAGCCCAGUUCCAGAUGAAGGGGUCGGUGCCGAAGCGCGCCGACACGUCCGGCACGCGCAUGUACUUGUGGCCGCUGACCACCUCGGGCAGGUUGUACAGGUACACGCCCUUGCGGCCCACGCCUGGCGGGAGCGGGUCAAAUGGUGGGUAAAUGAUGGGUGGGUAAAUGAGUGGGCGAGGCAAGUGCUCUGUUGCACUGUGGAAAGGGCGCAUUCAUCGCAUACAUACUGGAGUACGUGGGCACGCCCCCUCAAUGAUGGCUAAUUAUGAGGUCACGAUAAACACUGCCCAGGGCGCUAUCCGCGUCAGGUGCCUCGGCAAAUGGACGCCUGCGCCGCCCCGCGACCUCGACACCGGCUCCCGGCGUGCACUCACCAGGCCCGAAGUCCACCUCUCUCCGGUUGCUGAUGGGCGGCAGCACCACCUCCUUGUUGUCCUUGUACACGAUCACGUCCUCACCGGCCAGCAGGAAGCUGGUCUCCAGAAUGGUGGGGCCGGCGCCGCCGCUGCCCGCCGUGUAGUAGCUGUAGCGCAGCCACUUGGGCUCCACACUCUCACCUGCAGGCAUUAACACCAGCGAGUCAGGACUAACCGGAACAGCUACGCAGUUGCCAUCUGCUGCCGUGGGAUCCUCGUCCGCAAUGCCUCAGCAUCACCGCUCAGUACUCCUGCAUAAGCAACGUGGGUGUGCCCUGUUCCUACACCCUCGACCGCGGCCUCAUCCUCAACCGCGGCCCCACCUGCCACCACGCCGUCAGUACCCACCUGGUGCGGGUGUGCGGUAGUUCCAGUUGUCAUCGUACUCGGCGCGGGCGAUGGAGAUGAUGUGCGCGGCCAUGACGUUGGAGGUGCCAGGGUAGAUGCCGCCCGACACGAUGGCGGGCACGCCCGCGGCCUUGGCCUUCUCCAUAUAGGCAGCCUUGGCACUGAGGGUGGCCGGGGGGGGGUUUGAAAGUGAAAAACAGUAUUUUGAUUGGGUAGAGUUGGCAAUGACAGUUGUUUUGGACGUAGUGCCUAGUGUCCGCUCCUGGACCCGGCCCCCCCACCAGACCUGGCGGCUUAGGCCGCUCCACAGUCCGCCGCUGCGACCCUCAACUGCAUCCCCCAUGGUAUUGCUGGGCUCUCACCCCUCGGCAAAGGGCGUGUCAUCGCACACGUCGAUGUAGCCAGUGCCGGAAGCAAUGGCCGCCUCCAGCACCGCAUAGUUCUUAGAGCGCUGGAAGGGGCCGGCGGUGUGGAUGACCAGGUCCGCGCCCGUGGACUUGAGCAGCGCCUAGUUGAGGAGUAGGAGCAGGGAGGUUGGGGGAUGAGCGGUUGGAGCGGAGCGGGUGGCGAGGCUUGGAGGAUGCAGAACCUGAAGUGGCCCGUGCAGUUGCAAGUACCGUGCGCUUGACCUAGAUGCCCCUGCUUGCAGCAGCACUCUCAGCGCAUUCGAGAGCUCUGGCUAACGGUAACUCAAUCUCGCACUUCCUCCCAAAUCCAGCCUAGCUUUGCAAGAUCCCAUUGUAACGCUCCUGCCAUCUGGGUUGCGGGCUUGAGCACCAGGCCGGGCGCCCGCAGGCCCAGCAGCAGAGCGGCGGGGGGCGCCGGCGGCUAUGCGGCCUUUUGAGCUGGCUUCACGUAAGCACCAGCACAGCCUCCCGCCAAAAAUGCUCGGGAGGCAAGGCGGCAGCCAACUAGAACCAUAGCUGGACCGCUGACUCGCCAAACACCCAAUUAGCGCUGCUUCAGGGCCCAUGGCAUCAAAGCCGAGCCCCAGACCCACGGACCUGCACCGAGUCAGCGUUGGUGAUGUCCACGCGCUGAAAGCCCGCUUUGGAUAGCUCAGGCCGCCUCUCGACUGCUGCCUUGAAUGAAUCAUCGCUGCGGCUGGCCACCGUCACCUUCAGGUUGGGGAAUUCCUUGAGCAGAGUGGCCGCAGUGGAUGAGCCCACGCGACCAGUGCCUCCUAUCACCACAACCGACUUAUCGGGCACAGGACCCGUCGCACAUAUCACAUGCACUGCGGCCCGGCGGGCGCAGGGCCGGGCGACGAGUUUGGCACCCUGGCAUCGUGCGCCUGUGGCUCGCGAGGUGUUGGCCACACGACGCAUGGUGUGAGACUGGAUCUAGAAGAAAAGCCAACGACUAAAUACAGUACAAGAACAAAACGAUGACUGCAGAAUUAGAAAAAGAGGAAUGGCUUUAAUGCGAUCGCUAGUCCCAAUUCUGCGAGGCGAAGGUGAAUUGUUUAACUGAUUGAACCUUAUCAGCACCAUACACCGUAGUAUAAUAGCCGAACUGUAGCGUUGUUCGAAAUGCCCUGACCGGCGUCGGCCUUGCUGUUUACAUUUCGCCCAGGCGCGCACCGAAAUGCCACCGCGACUCUGCGUGAGGUGCAACACCUCUCGGGCUAUGCUGAAUCGCCCGAAAACCCAGGAGCAGGCGAGUUUCGGGGCCCGCCGGGGCUUCCUUGGGGCUGCGCAGCAGCGCACACGCCCACACCCGACCGGUCGGGCCCAACCCCCGACUUUGCACCGCGCAGGUCUGUCGGGAAUGCUUCUUCACGGCCUUUGAGGAGGAAGUACAUCAGACUAUUGUUGACAACAAGCUCUUCAAGCAUGGCGAGCGGCUUGCAGUUGCUGCCUCAGGCGGCAAGGACUCCACCGUGCUGGCCCAUAUUAUGAGCACGCUCAACGCGCGAUACAAGUGAGCAGGGAGGGCCACACGAAAGAGGCGUAUUAACGUAGCAGUAGUUUUGGGUAGUCUGGUAUGAUCUUUUGGGCGUUUGGCACGGCCAAGGCGCAGUUUGCGCUGGGCGACUACUCAGUGUGUGGGACUUUGCCGGUCUCAGUGUGGUGACCACGCCCGACCAAUUUGUGACCACAGCUACGGAUUGGACCUAUUCCUACUGUCCAUUGACGAGGGCAUCACCGGGUAUCGGGAUGACUCGCUGGAGACGGUCAAGCGCAACGAGCAGCAGUACGGCAUUCCGCUCAAGGUGAGUGAGGGCACGGACCUUGCGGUGCCGGAGAAAUUUCUUGGGCCAGCGGAAGGUGCUGAACUCGCAACAGCUGUUGCGUGCGGGCUCGCGUGUGGUGUAUAUUGUUCCAGUAAACCCAUGCAGCAUUUGCAGUACUCGAAUGCUGGUUGAGUUGGUCAAGCUCACUCAGCUCUUGACAUGCAGGUGGUGUCGUACAAGGAGCUUUACGGCUGGACUAUGGACGAGAUUGUGUCGCAGAUCGGCACUAAGAACAACUGCACCUUCUGCGGCGUCUUCCGGCGGCAGGUGCGUGCAGUGCCGCAAUAUCCAAUGCUUGCCACGGUCAACUGAGGCUAUUGGAUGCCUGCAUAAUGUUCUUGUCCAGAACUGCCCAGACACUGACAUUCAACUCCACUGCCGGUGCCCCCAACGCAACCCUCUUGGUGGCCAGGCGUUGGACCGCGGCGCGGUGCUGAUGGGUGCCAACAAGAUCGCCACCGGCCACAACGCUGAUGACGUGGCCGAGACCGUGCUGCUCAACAUCUUGCGAGGGGACGUGCCCCGGUAGGCCGCGGGAGCCUACAUGGCGUUACGCUGGAAGGUGGCACUGUCCGCUUAACUUCCUGUAUGGCGAUGGAAGCCCGCCUGUAACUGACUGACGCCCAGAACCUUCACUCCUUUCCUUCAUGCGCUUGCCUGAUGUGGCUCAGGCUGGGCCGCUGCGCCAACAUCAUCACAGGCGAGGACAGCUCGCUGCCGCGCGUGAAGCCGUUCAAGUACGCGUACGAGAAGGAGAUUGUGCUGUAUGCCUACUACAAGAAGUUGGACUACUUCAGCACUGAGUGCAUCUAUGCGCCCUUCGCAGCGCGCGGCUUCGCACGCGAGUUCAUCAAGGACCUGGAGGUGAGGGGGCCAAUCACAUGGUCACAUGGUGCCACUAGAAGGCGCAUGCAGCAAGGUUGCAGGGUUGGCAAUUGUUUGGCACUGUCACGUGUGGUGACUGCGUGUGCACACAAGCUUUGCGUGAAGCUCACGGGACUGAGCCAUACCUGCGUGUCGCGCAAUCCCUCUUGCGGGCAGGCUGCGAGGCCGCUGGCAAUUAUCGACGUGAUUCGCUCUGCCGAGGACUUCGUGUUCGCAGCGGCCUCGGAUGAGAAGCUACCGCAGCCGCGCACCUGCGAGCGCUGUGGCUACAUAUCCAGCCAGCCCGUGUGCAAGGCGUGUGUGCUGCUGGAGGGCCUCAACCGGGGCAUGCCGCGCCUAGGCGUCAGCCGCACUCGUGGGCGGCGUGGCGAGAAGGCGGGGCUACACCCGGACGUCGGCCGAGGCGGUGGCGGUGGUAGCUCGGGGCCUGCUGAGGUGGCAAGUGAGAGCGCGGAAGCCGCCAGCACAAUGCCGGCAGAACGGCAGGGAGGAGGGGUGGCACAGGCGCCAGCAGGCGGGGAGGGUGGUGCUGCGCCAACGACAGCGGGUUGUGCGGACGACGGGUUGCCGCGGUUCGAGGCUUGGGCUAGCGGCGCUGCGGGCGCUGGGGGCCAGACGGCAGCUGAGAAGGUGGCAAGGGCCGCUGUGCGCCAGAGAGGCCCUGUAGAGAUCGUGUACGAGACCACAUAGAACCCUAGAUAGUUGUUUGGCCCCGGCCGCACGGUAUAAGCGCUAACUGACAUGUAGUUGCAGAAGGCUGACAGGGUGCGGUUAGGUAAUCAGGGCGGAUCUUCAUCAGUUUACAGUUACUACGGCACACGCUGUUUGGUAAAGCACUCACUGCUAUGACUGCUAGACAGAGCACACAGGCGGCCGGUUGGACGGAUAUGGCGCGCCGGGAUAGGCAUGCGGUUUGGAGGUAGAGACCUUUGCAGAUGCCCCGCGGCAGGGCUUGCAACCGUGGCGGUGACUGCUGCAUAGGUAACCGAAGAUGCUUAAAGAACCCCAUGCGCACGGUGUCGGAAGAGGGCAUCGUAGCUAGCGUAGGUUGGCCAAUAUUGGCGCAUGCGGUAGGGGCAUCUGCGGGGAAAGCCGCGCAUGACGGCAUGAGGAUAGGCAGGCACGCGGUCCCCGGGUCCCGCAGAGGUGCCGAUGGCCGUGUGCUGUGUGUACUGGUAUGGUGCCGCUUCGGCGUCCAUUACUAAGACCGGACCUUACAGUGCCCUUCACGGGUGCGGCAUGCCCCCAUGGCGUACCGGUAUUAGGGCGAUCCGUGGCUCUCGCCUACGCGGUGUUCCCACACGCCGAAGCAAUGUGUUGAGUUUGCGCCUAGAACAGACGACCACUUAGGAGUCAGGACGGUGUAUUGGGGCUCGCGCUGAGACAGGAUCAACCCAUCUAGCUCCCUACGUCAACGGACCUAGGCCGGACGGCUGGGGAGGACGGCAUUCACCUGUCCUCCAUAAUCUGCACACACAACGCUGCAGCACACACACUCCCAAUCAAUCGGUAUCGCUAUCCAGGCAAUGCCAUCAAUCCGGGUCAGUCCAGAGACGGCCUGUUCAGCGGUGGCCAUGGCGGUGACAAGCGGUGAUGAGGCAGUAUGUUUGCUGCAGCACAAAGGUCGGCCAGACCGUUCUGAAGCCGGGGCAGACGAUGAUGGCAUGAGCUCGAUACUAGCUUACAUACACCAGCGCAUCACACCGGCGACGCCAUGUGAAGCACAUGCUGCCGUUACCUGUCUGCAUGAACUUGAAGCCUCGAUUGUACAUCGUGAUUGUACAUCUACACCAUGGAAUCCUUACGGCACUAUUUAGCCGCACGGAAGCCAUGCAUUCCUUCCAUGUCCAUAUGGAUUACCAUUGCCCUACCCCGAGCGGAUUGAGGUAAUGGUAGUGUUAGCACGCCCUCAGUAACUGUCAAAUAGUCAAGUCAUCAUCAUACGACCGUUCCGGGGCGACGCUAGCUCGGACCCCACCUGAUGCACCUUGCGCACACGCGCCCUGCGGUAUUCUGCCCCUGAACCCUUGACGCGCCAUCAGUACAGCACACGCCCACAAAACCAGCAUCACUUCGCACCCUCACACUCCACAACGUCACACGCGCACGCCACAUCAACUCUGCCACCUCCCCAUCACCGCCGCGUCGGUGACCCACGCUUCCCGCCUGUCGCGUCUGCCCCCGCUGGCCGGACCUUAAUGGCCGUCUCCAGCUUCCGCGGCAGCGUCCGUUGCACCUUGCUCUCCAGAUGCUCACGCGUCAGCGGGCGGUCCUCUUCCACCGGCUCCGGUUCCAGCCCCUCCACCUCCUCCUCCUGCGUAGUGCUGGGCGGCUCGAUGAUGAUGCGGUUGCCCGGCUGCGUCAGUGGCUGCGCCAGCAGCGCCUCCGCAAGGCCGUCAGUGCCCUGCUGCGCUUUCCGCUUGGCGUAAAUCUGCAGGCACAGCAAGAAUGAGCAAACCGUGUAAGCAUCAUGACGGGCACCUGCUCUACGCCUGGUGUGCACCGCCUUCCCUUGCGCGAUGGAUACCUAGGACGGACUGAAGUGCAUCCAGUCAUACAUCGCCUACGGACCCCAUCAUUGCACUCCUCUCUUUCACGACCAUGGCCUGGCGCCCACCUGCAGAAUCUCGUUUGUCCGCUGCUCGAUGAUGCCCAGGUACGCCGUCAGGUUGGCCUCGGUCACGCCCUCCUCGCCCAGCAGGUCGCGCACUGCCGGCGUGUUGCAGCCGAUGCGUUCAAACAGGUCAUUGAUGCCCGCCUUAAGCGCCGUGGUCAUGGACAAAGCCGAAUCCGUGCGCUUCUCGUACAGCUGCGACUGCGCCUCCGACGCUGCGAGCCGCGCCUCCUCCUCCGUUAGCUCGCGGGACUUGGUCAUGUCCAACUCGCGCCCGGUCUCCCUGUAGUGUGCGGGAGUUGAGCACAGUAAACACGGGUGAUGCGUUAGACCAUGUGCGCUGACGUAUGAAUGCGGAUGUUACAAAGGGGACAGUCCCAGCACCCGAAGACGCCGAGCCAUCACAUGCUAUCUUGAGUCCACCAACCCCGACUUUGCUGCAAACCCUCCCGCGGUCAAAGUCCGUGUGACUCCGCGCACAGUGAGUCCUAGCCAAGCCUCAACCCGCCAGAGCCCCACCGCUGUGCCUCAACGCCACAAGCCUAGGCAUAGGAGUGCCGGGAAACGUCUAGGCACGCUGACGUAUGACGUAUGACGUAUGACGCUGCUGAGACACUUGCCUAGAGAGGCAUGCGCGUGCGCAGUGCUUGAGCCCCCCCGUGCCAAACCCCGGCCCCAGCUUCAUGACACACCUGUACUUGUUAAUCUCCCCACGCAUGAUAUUGAUCUGGUCCUCCAGCUUCUCAAUUUCCUGGUUGACCUCGUUGACGUAGUUAAACAGCGUGUAGUUCUGGUCCUCAGCCGCCAGGAAGGUGUUGACCAGCUGGUCGAUGUCCUCAAUACCUGUGGCAUCCUGCAUGGAUGAAGGGCCAAAUUGACCGUGAGCCGACGGCAAACUCGCCACCAGCAGGCGCGAUUUCGUUGCAGCUCACGCCAGCUGGCUACCACUAGACCAGCGGCAUGUGCUGUAGCGUGGCACAUCAAAACCCCUUCAUCCCCUCGCAGCCCAGCACGCGUCGGUCCUUCUCAUCUGUCGCGGCUCACCUGGAUCCGCUUGAAGGCCUGGCCGUACAUCUCCACCUUCUCGGCCGCUACGUUCUGCGCCAUCGCCUUGUUGUACCCAACGUUCCACGAGCCUUUCGUGAUGCGCUUCUUCUUCUCUGCUGAGGACAGAGUUCCCAUCUUGAGGAGCUCCUGCGUCUCACGCUCGCGCAUUGCCAGCUCUUGUGCGCGGGCGCGUUCCUAUGGCACAUCAGUGGUUCGCAACGGUAGGCACAGUCAAUGGUGCGCGAAGUGGGAUGUGCCGCAGUUAUGCGUCAGUUUGCGUGUGCGAAUUGCAUCUGCCCGCAAGAGUGUGUGGGCAGGAAGGCAAGGGCAUAUGAGCAGUCAUCCAAGUACGCCAUGCCUUCGCCCCAAGUUGAUGCACCUCAGCACUCUGUACAAAUGUGUAGGUGCGCUGCGGCCCCAGCUACUACGCACCCGCUCCUUCUUGUCCUCCUCAAUGAUGGUUGUGAGCUGUCGCCAUUCCUCCUCGAAGCCCUGCUGCUCCUUGUCCGCCUGCGCCUUCAGGGCGUUCAUCUCCCCAAUGGCCUUCUCUCGCGCCUCAAAUGCUCCAUUGGCCUGCUGAAUCAUGUCCGCCAUGUCCCGCUUCAGCUUCGCCAGCUCCCGCUCCAGGUUGCUCUGGAUGCUCUCAAACAUGAUGCGCUCCCGCCGGAGGUUAUUUAUAGACUCCCGCAGCUGCUUGUUGUGCGUAAUGGACUGGUUGUACUUCACGUACGCCUUCUCGAGCCGGUUCUCCAGCAGCUUAAUGCGCUUCUGCACCGCGGUUGACUGCUCCUUGGCGGAGAAGAUGCCGCCCAUGUUGUUCCGGGUGGUGGUUAGCGUGCUGCCCAUUUCCGACAGCUGCUGGUCCAGCAUCUUUGUCUUGCGCAUCUCCAACACAAUCUGCAAAUAAGCGCGCGGUUUCAGCGCUGGCACACGAUGACACGCGGGGCGCGCGGUGCAUGUCAACCCACCUUGCGGGCAAGCAUGUCGCCCUCAUCCUGCAACCGGUUGAUGAGGGCUUGUGCAAACGGGUCACCAGGCCGAACGCUGAACUUAUUUUCCAGCAGCAACUCCGUCUUGAGCUGCUCGUUCUGAGCUCGCAGCUUUUCGAUAGCCGCUCUGCAUACAUUAUUUGCAAGCAUCAAGCCAGAUGUUUAAAGCAAAAGUAGCACCUGACACCUUACCUUUGCUUGUCCAGCACGGACUUGUGCCCAAGCGUGUCGCCUGCGCCCAGCGUCCCCUUUCCCAUCGAGCCCGCUGAGCCACCGCCACGAGCUGCAAGUAUGGUACGCACGCAAAGGUUUAGCUGGGAUGGCUUGGACAUCCAGAGCAGGGCUCCCCGCGACAUCGAAAUACUGUCGACUCACUGGCGUCUGCAGACGGCAUCCUUUAUGUCACUUGCUUAUAAUGCUUAAAAAGGUAAACGUCCUGGCUAAGGCAAAAUAGCUAAACGUGUGCUCUAAGCGGCCGCUGGUGAAAACUGGCUCACUGGGCCGUGUUCAUAUCUUGGUAUCAGCAGGUACUUCAAGGAAUUAAGAGAGUUGAUAAAGGACCGAAUGUGUAUGGCCAUCGAAGAAGACCGGGACCGCCGCGAAUGGGGCCCCAUCGUUUCUUUGCUCCGGAGUGCUCGUUUUUGCAGGCAUCAGGUGCAACCUCCUGGCAAGUGAAUUUGGUUUUUGUUUCUGACUAAUACUUGACGAUAGGCAUAACAAGACAAUCAACGGUGAGGCCGUCUCUGAGCCCAGCGCACUGACACGCCCUAGCGGUUGAUAAUUAGUUACGCUCAGUCUUCUCGACAUAUCAGCUCUUCAUUCGUGUCCUGUAGUCAACGCCACAAGGAACACGGGCCAGACUCCGGUCGGAGUACUUUUGCAAGCCGGAAGCCAAACCAAAGCUUCGCCUGCUUGCCAUUUUACCUGGCGUUCAUAAAAGCCUACUAAGGCCUGGCUCGAUAUCGGCGAGCAGCGUUGACUUGGGCCCGGCAGUCUCUCGUUGAGACUCGCUCGGCCGUUGCUUGCGUCCAAGAAGGCGGACGCCCGCGUGCUGGCCUUUACUUAUCAUUUUAGCUCAGCAGCCGUAGCAAGCAGUCGCUGAUAUGAAGGGAGAAGGGCAGACGGACAAGGACAAAGCAGCGGACGUCGCAAAGGAGGGUGCUGCCAAGGAGGAGGAGGCCAGCACUGCGCCGCUGCCAGACAAGGCAAGAUAUUGUGCCGCCGCAGCUCCACCCGGGCUCAGCCGCAUGCAGGCAGGCUGGCGCUCACCAGCUCUCGUAAUUUGGCGUCGCAGGUGCUUGUUGGGGGCUCCCCGGAGUAUUAUGUGGAGCGCAAGCUGGGCAAGGGCGGCUUCGGCCAGGUCUAUGUCGGCCGCAGAGUGUCGUCAACAAAGCAAAAGGACGGCCCCCAGGCGAACCAGGUCAGCAAGAUUGUUUGAACCCUGGUUUUGCUAGUCCACGAAACUAAUCAGCUCUUUGCGCGCAGGUGGCUUUAAAAUUUGAGCACCGCAGCAGUAAAGGCUGCAACUAUGGGCCCCCCUACGAGUGGUCCGUGUACAAGUAGGUGUCAACAAGCAGCCGGUUUUUUUCGCUGAACGGUCGAGCGUACGUAGCCCUUUGUGACCUCAAUUACUUCCUUGUGCUUGUAGCUCGCUCGGCGGGGUGCACGGCAUCCCUAAAGUGCACUACAAGGGGCGGCAAGGAGACUAUUACAUCAUGGUAAGUGCCCGGCAGGCCUGCCGGGUGUUUCGGCCAGGGCGAGCGCUCCCAAGUUUCGGGAAUGAAAGUUUACAUAUGGGGGCUUGAGUUUACAGGCGACAGCGUACAGCCUCGUGCUUAGGCUCUGGGGUUGGCACUGUCCCAGCGGGACCCGUAGCCGACUAACUCCGCCACGCAACUUGAUGGCGCAGGUCAUGGACAUGCUGGGGCCCAGCCUGUGGGACGUCUGGAACUCGUCGGGCCAGGUUAUGUCUCAGGAGAUGGUGGCGUGCAUCGCCGUGGAGGCGCUGUCCAUUCUGAAGGAGCUGCACGCAAAGGGGUGGGUAUUUGAGGCGUGUACGAAUCUGGGCAGUGGCGACGUGGACCAAGUCCAACAACUUGCACCGCACCCUACUUCUCUGCAGUAGUUGUAGCUUGACAUAUCGCAGAAACGUUGGUCCUCUGCGCUUUGCGAUGUAAUGUUUGUGCAACGUUACAGGUACGUGCAUGGUGACGUGAAGCCGGAGAACUUCCUGCUGGGGCAGCCCGGCACGCCAAACGAGAAGAAGCUGUACCUGGUGGACCUGGGCCUGGGUAAGAAGGGUGGCACCUGGACGCAGGAUGUUUAGCGGGGAGAGGGAGGAGAGCCGCAGAGGCGAAGGAGGGCAAGGCGGAGGGGGAGGGGAGGUGGUGGUCGUUACAUCGCAACUCCGCGUGUUCGAGCUGUCACGUUGACGCAGUAACCAAGUUCAUUAUUGUUCACAGCAACACGAUGGAAGGACGCCGUGUGCGGAACACACGUGGAGUACGACCAGCGGCCAGACGUGUUCAGGUUCGUGUCUGUUGGCGGGAAUUGAAACGGAGGUGAAGGAUCUCCGCCGAAACGUUGGGUGCGUCUGAUGGGCCGACUUGAAAGCCAGUCGGAAGCAGGGAACUGAAGUUCGUGCGUAUCACCCGUGUGGCUGCAGGGGGACAGUGCGUUACGCUAGCGUGCACGCGCACUUAGGGCGGACAGCCAGCCGGCGUGACGACCUGGAGUCGCUGGCGUACACGUUGCUGUUCCUGCUCAAGGGCCGGUUGCCGUGGCAGGGCUACCAGGUGGGUUCACUUCAGAUGGAGCGAAGUGGAUGCGCAGCCACAUGUGUGGGUUUGCAACAGCAUAGCCCGUGGUCCUAGUGCCUGACGAACGACUGUGUGUACGUGGCGUCGGGGACAGGGUGACAACAAGGGCUACCUGGUGUGCAAGAAGAAGAUGGCCACGUCCGCGGAGAUGCUUUGUCGGUACACGCCGCCGGCAUUCCGCCAGGUGCGUCGUACGCUGUUGUUGUUGAGGCCGUCAGUUUUAGAGCAGUUUCUGCAUAUCACGCUGCCCCGUAUGGUCCUGGCAAACGCACCCAACGACCUGGAUGCGGGCUGUGUCUUGCCUCGGUGCAGUUCACGGAGGCGGUGGUGAACCUGAAGUUUGAUGAGGAGCCCAAGUACGAGGCGUACAUGAAGCUGUUUGAGCCGCUGUGCGGCCCGGCACCGUCACGGCCGAUUCUGGUGGAGGGCGGGGCCAAGGUUAGUCCACUGGUUCGGGCGAGCGCUUCCACUUAACUGCUUACUGCCUGGUGAUCAACGUAUGUUAAGAACUUGCUUGCUGGCUGUGAUUGUCGCUCUCGUCACUUGUUGGCUCGCGCAUCGGGGUUUGCUUCAUAGGUCGGCCAGAAGCGCCAGCGCGAUGCGGACGAGCAGCUGGAGGACGCGGGGCCGAAAAAGAAGGUCCGCCUAGGCCUGCCGGCAACGCAAUGGAUCACAGUCUACAACGCGCACCGGCCAAUGAAGCAGCGGUGGGUGCCUGGCUCGGGAACCUGGCGAAGCGCGGGUCGUACACGUGCAGCUUGUUGUCGAUCGUUUUUACCCGAGGCUGUCGGACGCAGCGCCAUCAUGUAUUCAUCAUUGUUCUGUCCCCAACCCGCAGGUAUCACUACAACGUGGCCAACACGCGCGUGGAGCAGCACGUGGAGAAGGGCAACGACGACGGGUUGUACAUCUCGUCCGUGGCGUGCUGCCAGGAGCUGUGGGCACUCAUCAUGGACGCCGGCACCGGCUUCACGGCACAGGUGUACAACCUGAGCCAGCACUUCCUGCCCAAGGAGUGGAUCAUGGAGAAGUGGGAAGAGGGCUACUACAUCACCGCGAUGGCGGGCUCCAUGUCGGGCAGCAGCCUGGUGGUCAUGUCAAAGGGGACGCCCUACACGCAGCAGUCGUACAAGGUCAGCGACUCCUUCCCCUUCAAGUGGAUCAACAAGAAGUGGAAGGAGGGCUUUUACGUCACUUCCAUGGCCACGUCACACACGCGGUGAGUGCGCCAUAGCUGCUGAGCGAAAUGUUGCAGUACCGUAUUGAGCUAUCGUAUGCUUUGCUUGUGCUGGAACCUGCUCAUGACUUUGUUUUGUCACGCCUGUUCGGUCACGAAGUCUUUUGCCCUUCCCUCACCUUACCACAGGUGGGCUGUGGUGAUGUCGCGCAACGCCGGCUUCGCUGACCAGUGCGUGGAGCUCGACUUCCAGUAUCCGUCGGAGGGCAUCCACCGCCGAUGGGACGCCGGCUUCCGCAUCACCGCCUGCGCCGCGACACCGGACCAGUCAGCGUUCGUGCUCAGCGUGCCGCGCCGGCGGCCAAUGGAUGAGACGCAGGAGACGCUGCGCACGUCAGCAUUCCCAAGCUCGCACGUGAAGGAGAAGUGGGCGAAGAACCUGUACAUCGCGGGCAUUGCCUACGGCCGCACGGUCAGCUAGACGGCUGAGCUGUCAGUCCAGGAGCCUGCUGUUUGUCAGUGUGGCCUCAUGUUAUUCCUUGAAAUGCGCGGGCCGCCUUGCGGUUGAGAUGGCGAAUAAUGACGAUCUCUUACUCUUAGACAAAGACAGACAUGUGGGGUAUGUUUGGUUUCCAUUGUGCACCGACUUUUGGGGCUGUGUUAGCCCACUGACUGAUGACGCAGCGGGACUAUACGUGGGGCUGCGUCAAGCCCUUCACUGUGACUGGCAUCCACGAGUGCCUCACAUUGGGCAACUUAAAAGCGCCUGACCGUGUGUUACAGAACAGUCUGGCAAACCCUAAACAAAAGUGACGUCCCGGUAACGCCGGCGACCGGACAUGGUCAUUGCGACGUUGUGAGGGGAAGUGUUGAUGAUGGGCAUCGUUUCAUGUAGAGGAGUGUAUUGGUGGGUGUGAGCCAAGUGGGAGAGGGAAAGUGUUCAGGUACGUGUGUCUGAGACGGGGAAGACGGAGAGCAACAGGAGCAGAAUGAUACAAAUAGCCGGCACAGAGGGAACGUGCCAGAGCUGUGCAAGUGUGCCAGUGAGUAAUGCAGAUACAGUAUGAGGUAAAUUGGUACCUACUGCUUCAGUGCCUCUGGUGCCACCCUUGUCGCGAAGGCCCAUACCUGUGCAUCAGUUUCUCCGCACUCCAAACAUCAGCCGCGCCAUUCCCAAUUCCAACCCGCGGCGCUUCCUCACACUCCGGUUGUGUUUGUCUCGCACUCGCAAUCGACUCGCCCGCCACUCAUCCGAACACUCGGGCUCCCUUUUUGGGCUGAGCCCCCUGAGCGAAGCGAUCCAGGGGGGGCGAAGCCCCCCAGGAUUGCCCCUGUCCGUGCGUGCGUGCGUGUGUGCCUGUGUCGACAAAAAGUACCAUACUGGCACAAACCGCGAGUGCCACGUAUUAUUAAUUGCAAUUACCUAUUGUAGAAAAAUAGACGGCAGGGAAAACUCGGCCGGAGCGAGAAGCGACCUCGUGAGUCCAUGGACAUCUUGACUUUCUUCAGUUCGCGAGUAUAGCUCUCGGCCCCUAAAUAUCUUACAUCCAUGUAUCAAAACAUGUCGACGAACGCUUUGGGGCAAGAAUGUCGAAAUUGUUUGCAACAGCCAAACCAUGCGUCCCCGAGCCUUACAUGUGUCGCGGCCCGGGAUCCCGCGCCCGAGCCCGGCUAGCCGUUUGCGGUGCUUGAGUGGGAUGUGGGUGAGGUGCAUUUGGGAUAUCAUGGACCGUGAAGUGGCGUGGGUAAGGUGGCGUGGCGUGGCGGGGACAGGGCAUGUCGGUGCCUCGGCACGGCGUUGGCAUAGUGGCCAGUCCCGCUGGAUGGGCUUGCAAGGGUGCUGUUCAUGUCGCCGGUGCCCAUCGUCACAUCCCCUUGCGCUACAUGGGGCUCAGCCCAUUUUCCAGCUGUACAAAGCUGACACCCCUUGUCUGCCUUGCCUCGCCCUGUUUCUGCCCCUGCUUGUCAUACUGUCGCCCAGCCAUUGCUAUGCUGCAUUCUGUCUGCAAUUUCUCUGCGUUUGCGUCUGGUGCUCAUCCGUAAACGCUGGUCACCUUCCUGCAGGUGCGCUGCGACUCUGCUUCGCGAGCGUGGCUUAAGGGCUUGCAUCGUCGGGGAGCGGCAAGAAGCGGGCCCCAAUGCAGGCCCUCGGGCUAGAAAGAUUGGGCACCUCCGGGGGUGCAUUCUCGCCGCGUGGGGCUGCAUACGGUCUCCAAAUCUCGCCAACUCCCCCUUCCCAGGGGGGUUUGGGGGGGCGGAGCCCCCCCCCCCACCCCCAACGCUAAAAAUUAGGCGUUUUGGGGCCCAGUGCUCGUAUCUUAAGGAGGCAGGUGCGGCGCCAGUGACAGAUUUCCGGAAAAUGGCAUCUUUAAUUUUCAGAAACCCGCUGCCGCCGCAUCUUUCAUCCCCAGAAUUUUUCCGGGGGCUCCGCCCCCGACCUAUGCACGGUUCGUGUCAGGCCAGGGGAGUGGCCAGAGGCAUGCCAUGGCUGGUACUGAGCAUCCUGUGUAAUGCCAAACAAGGUUGUCCUAUUGCAGCGUGCCAAAUGCGGCUGCAGUUGCCCCCAGCCCACGUUUCGGCUCCGGCACAGCAAAAUAUUCCGCCGCACCGGAUGUGCCCCUGUCACAGCAUGCGGGGUGAGGUUGCUGUUGCCCCCAUCCCACGUUCCGGCUCUGGCACAGCAAAAUAUUCCGCCGCACCGCAUGUGCCGCUGUCACAGCAUGCGGGGUGAGGUUGCUGUUGCCCCCAGCCCACAUUUCGGCUCCGGCACAGCAAAGUAUUCCGCCGCACGGGAUGUGCCGCUGUUACAGCGUGCGUGCGGCGUGAGGUUGCUGUUACCACGUAAUCACUAUGUUGCUGACUUCGGCUGUUCGGCACCGGCUCCAUGGCUCCAUGGCAAAUCGUGGCCCAUCCCCACGCCAAACCCCAGCGCCCACACCCACGCUCAUCAUCCUCGCUCACCUACGGCAUGACUCCCCUGGCAGAAGGCUGGCCUAUCGUGGUGUGCCCACAUGGGUGCCAGCAGGACACGGCCGUAGAUAGAGUUUCCUGGGGAACCUUAGUCACCCUUGCCUUGGGCCCGGACAAGUUACAGAAACGCCCUAAAAUGUCUUCUGCGAAUCUCAGAAAGACCCCUCCAAACCUGAAAAUUUCUUCCGCCGGAGGCGUUUUGGGGCAAAUUUCUGUCGAAAAGGAAGAUACGAGCACUGUUGGGGCCCCUGGAUGCUGUGGGCGAGAACGUGGUGAGGGCCCUUCUCGCCUGCGGCGGCGGCCCACCCCUGGAAGAUGCAAGCCCUGGUGGCGUUGCGGUGUGUCUGUGUGGUGCUGUCGCCUGGCCGGGCGCCCGGACCGUGAGGAAUGUGCGUCAGCAAACUUCCGUACAGCCAGCAACUUGUCGGUACAGUAACUCCGGCGUUCGACCAGUCGCGCGCUCAUGCACCGCCGUCAAAUUGUUUGCCAUCUGCUGCACCCCACGGGACUUCACCAACCUGCCUUAAGACUGUCCCAUCGCACACCUAACUCGUCGGGCUGGGCAAAUUGCGGGAAUUAUGGGGUGAUCCAGAGGCCGUUAUUAUGCUGAAAUGGGGUUGGGGGAACUUGCGCGGCCGAAGGCCGCGCAAAUUGCGCAGAAGUUAGGCGCGUACCCAGCGAGUACGAGUACCCACCUUGCUGCCCCUGUCGCCCCACGCCCAGCUUGGGUCAAUUAUGCAGUGGAUAGGAGCGGUGGCCCACGAUACAGCAGCCACUGCAGCUCAUAAUUUAAUUUAUUAUUUACGCAGUGCGUAGACAGGGGGCAGGGGAGCGAGGGCGAGGGCAAGGGGUCCAGCGGCGUGGUGUGGCGGCGACCAGCAGCCACCUUUACCACGCUGCAGGAGAUGUAUCUGUCCGGCCCAACACUGCUAUCCUUGCCCGGUAGGGCCACACAUGAGUGUCCGAGGCAGAGGAGGUGUAGCGCCCACGCCCAGCAAGUAGAAGCAUGGCAGGCCGGGCUACCUGACCGCGUGUCGUGCCCACGGCUGCCCCCAGCAGUUGUGACCCCGGCGGAGCACGCCGUGCCCUCCUUACCAACGUCAAAAAUCAAGCGUUUUGUGCCAGGGAUUUCCAAAAUUUUUCCCGGGGGCUACGCCCCCGGAACCCCCCAUAGUUAAUGGAAAACAACACAGCAGUAUUAACAUCAGUGUUUCGUGCCGCGAGCACUUGAAAACGAUACCACAUUGGCAAUAAUUCAAUAGUGCGCUGCCGAUCCAUAGAGCGAAGCCUUGUCGGCGAAGAACGCAACUUGGCAAAUUUGUGCAGCCGCGCAUUCCACGGCUUUCAGCCCCAGAUACCGCCUACUACCAUCUCUAUAUUGACUCCUAAGUUUGCUGCAACCUUGCUUGGGGUCAUUAGAGCGCUACAAAGGGAUUUGACGGUCGUGCUGGCCGAACUUGUGCCGCGGACAGGCUCUAACACUGACAACAAGUAAAGAAGCGUCCGGUCGCAUAAAUGUAAUUAUGCUGGGCGUCCAAGACAGCCUAACAAAGUUGCGCACUAAUUCCCGAAUUAGCGCAAAUUGCCAUAGUCGCGAAUUCACCCAUGCCAUGGCCCCUACCCCGGGCGUGGGCAAAUUGGCGUGCCCCUACCCCGGCGUGAGCCGUUCAUCGACCCUGAUAUAUGCUGGAUAACCCAACCGUGUUCCAAACGUGCAUCUUAACACACGUUCGCUGGCUACGUGCGUCCAACCAAUAUUUGGCUAGCAGACAGUGGCGCACCCCGACACAAUGCAAGCCACUAGCUCGGAAUGUGCCUAAUUGCCCGCCUACCCCAAUUUGGCCCACUUGCCCGUGCGGCUGGCCCGCACGGAUUCAGAGCCUGCCUGAUUUAAUAUUGCAUGGUUAUAUUAUAUAAGGAUUAUCCAAGGACUGGGAGGCCAGUAAGAGGCCGAUUCCCGAGCAGUCCCCGAAAACGGCCCUGUGCGCCCGCCCGAUUAUUUGGCCCACUCGCCAGAGCCCACGCCCUGGUCUUCAAAAGCCUGCCUGACCGCCCAGUUCUCUGCAUAUAUAUUAUCAUUUACAUGUAAGUGAUAGCUUAGCAAGCUUAAAUGGGUAAACUAGGGCUGGCCCUGCCGGGCUCGGUGCGGCGGGUGCCACUCCGGCAAGUGCCACUGCACUGCCUGGGGACUGCAUGAUUCCAGGCCCCUAUAGCAUCGAAAAAGCAUCAUGUGACAUACGUAAAGGUCUCUGGACGGUUUCUGGACUUAAAUUUUAGCGAAAACAGAAGUCAAAAUGUCAAAUGUCGCGCUCGCUAGGACCCAGCCAAUUCGCCUCGAAGCUAUCUAGCUUACAUCUAAGUGUGCAGAUAACUCGACAGCAUGAAAUCCAGGAACAAAAGACCGCCUAAGCGAGAUAUGGCAUGUGGAGCAGACGGACUGCAGGUUGCCUGGUCUGCGCAUUUAAUAUCUUAUGAUGUUUGUCCUUUAGUGAUUUGUGCAAGCCAGAAUGCGCCUGCAGACGACAAACAAAACAACAUGCUGAGCAUUUAAGGCGCAAUGUGCAUCCAGAACACUCCCAAUCCUGCCCGGACGGUUGCAACAAUCCUCAUAUGACAUCUAUAGGGUAUCGAAAUCGGCAAAUCGCCAGCAGGGAUGACCAAAACGCCUCGCGGCCCGGUGGGCCAAUUUGGGGUCGCCCCUCAGUUUUCCCCCCAGAACCCGGCCCCCAGAAUCCACUCGCCCACCGCGCCCUUUUGACCCCCAACCCGUGCAAUAAUCUUAUAUAGUGCUUACAUCAAUAUUUAGGCAAGCGUGGGCGCCUAGGAAGCCCUGUAGCGGUCUGGGCCAAAAGUGGGCCAAAUAUGGCACAUUCCGAGCUAGGGCGCGUGUUGACGCAUCUCAAAGUGCCCGUAACCCAAAACAUGCGGCACGUAAGCAGGCACAGAAGCCACACCAAGGCAAGUAGUACACAUGGCCCAGUAUCUUCUGCGCUAGCUGGCGGAUUUGCCCUUCAGCACCUGCGCAAAUGAGUACCAGACGCCACCCGCCAUGUUCAUGGCCAUGCCCGCAACAUUUACAAUGUGGAACUUGACGCCCCCCAACAGGAAGAACCCCAGCACACUGCUCACGACGCCCUUGAGCACGCCCACCACUGAGGUCGUCAGCGCGCUGUUUAGCUGCGUGCACAGAAUGACCAUACCCGUCAGCAGGCCCUCCAUCACGGCCGUCACCACGAGCCAUGUCAUGAACCCCACGUAGCCCAUGCUCUCAUGCAGCUCUUUCAGCAGCGUAGGGGCGGCCGCGGCGUCGCCUGAUAUGAGCGACGCAACAAUCAGCGGCACCGUGGCGAUGACGCAAAUGCUGUAGAGCAGCUCGAUAGGUCCCAGCGGACCUUUGCUUCCGCCGUCUUCUUCGAACCCUGGAGGUCCCGAUGCGACGUUCGUCAUGUGUGCCAGGGGGCUUGCGCGUCCGUGCGCAUGGUGGCAGGCAGGCCCGUGUGUGUGCGGCGUACUGUGCAGAUGUGCAUUGGCAUGCAGCUCCACGCCCGUGCUGUGUGCGACGUCCGCCUCAAACAAUAGCCCACCUGCGCCGUGAUGGUGAUGAUGCGACUGCGUGUGCCCGUGCGAGCCCCCGGCCUCCGCGCUAUCAACGUCAGAGCCUGGGCCUCCUGCUGACGCCACCUCCCGCUGUUUGUGCGCCCGAGCAGUAUGCGCCGGCCCAUGUGCACUGCCGCUGCGGCUACUGCUAGUACUACCACCACUACCAAGGCGCUCCGCAAGUAGGAUAUAGGUGGCUUGCAUAAGCGCGCACAACGCCGUUAGGGAGUAGCCCUGUUACAAGCAACCAUUGGGAUCAUACUGUGAGGCCAGGUGCAAGGUGUCAACUCCACAUAAGCAACAAUAUUGCCAUACAAUGUACUACAGUUCAUGGCACUGCCCAACCACAACUUACGUUCCCAUCGAAGGAAAGAUCCCCAGCACCAGCUACCAGGCAGCCACCUGAAGGUGUGCCGCCACAACAGUUCCUGGUGUUAGGGUACUUGCACGCUGGGACGCCCGAAUAGCCCAACCGCCUAAGCGAUGCCACAGCUCUUCAUGCUUACCGACAAUCAGCAGCACAGACAGCGUUGUAGCCAUGUCCGGCAUGCGCUGGUCCAUGACCCCCUGCGGCAUCGUGCAAAACCAGCGGUAAAGCAAUUGUGAAGACACAUGGUGCACAUGCGCUUUGAUAGCGAGGGGUGAGGGGCGAUCACGAUGGGGCGAGGGGCGAUGCGUGAGGGGCUGCUUAGUAGUAAGUAGCCCAGACCCCGUCGCUAACACCCACCUUCAUCACCAGUACAAUAACUGGUGUCAAGCGCUUAAGCGUGUUGUACAUGGGCACCGACAAGAACGCCCUGCACGUGACAAGGACACGAUGUUCAGUAGCUUGAGUGGGAGUGCCUGGUAACAACGCCUACCUACUGGAAACCCUUCACGCCCACAACAAUGGUUCAUCACACGGCAGUCCAAGUGCAUAUCUUACAGCGAGUAAAGCACGAGCACAGCGUGGGCUGCGUAGCAGAUUGUGAGGGGCAACAGCAUCCACACCCGAAUCUUGCCCAGGCGAGGUACGGUCGUGAAGCCCAACGCAGCCGCCACACGCAGUAGGACCAUGGCCGUCACCGUUUGCAUGAGCAAAAUGGCCGUGGGCAGUGGGAACACCAGCACCGCGUAUUUAUUCACGAAGUUUGCCGCCACAGCCACAGCCCCAUCUGCACAAAAGGGAGUGGGGCAGUUGCCAGCAAGGUAAGGGGCUUUCGGGUGCCGCGCCCUGUCGGGACCUCGUCAGGAUGCGAGUCCCAACCCAGAAGUAAUCUGCGCGCUUGCUUCCCCUUAUGCGGUAGUAUGCUUGUGAAAGCGAUAAACUGGUUGACGAUGACAUGACAUCUUUGCUUCACAAGCCGCGUCCAAGGGUGAAAGUAAAUCAGAUCAUAUUUGUCUGCAACACUUACAUAUGACUGCGACCAGGAGACCGAGCCAUAAUCGCGAGUUCAUUUCUGUCGCGGAAGCUGCUGCAGCUGACCCGUCCCUAUUCCAUAACGCAGAACUAGGGCUUGAUGUCAACAUUGAAGUACUAGUGUUGUUGUAACGACUGUAAUGUCACGGCUGUCACGGCUGUUGCAGCCAUUUGCGACAGUCGCCCUCAAGCGUUGUAGCCGGUCAUUGUUGCUAGCGCAGAUUAUUUUAUGUCGGCGAAAAGGACAAAUAGUCUGGCCGACCGGGGCCGCGCAGGUAGACGGCUCCAUGGUUUCCCUACUCCCCCCCCAUGCCACGUCCUGUCCAGGCUGGCAAGGGGGGGGGGGGGGGCGGGUAACUCCGCCGGAAUUUAUCCCCAUGAUUCAAAUGGAAAGAGCUUAGAGGGAGCGUUUAGAAUUUGCUUUCAGAGUUUCAAUCAGGGUAGUUGUCGCAAAGUUAUGGGCUCCCAAAGUUCAGUGUCGGUCCUCGGUCUUCUGUGUCCCAAGGUUUCGUCACGCAGCGUGUGGACUGCUAGGUUUCGUCUCGCGCUCAGAAUGCCCAUCUAAACGCUCCGCCCAAUAGCACAAGCACUAGCACACACAAGCAAGCACAUACUGGAGUAUUUGCAGAACGUUUGGCCCCUGGAAUGCGGCGGCUUGUCCGUCUGCAUCGGCAUCCAAGUCACGCAGAGCUCAGCAGAGCUCCACCUGAGCGUCUCUCACUGAUGUCAUGGAGACUAUGUGAGCUGACGCUGAUCCGUAACGGCCAAGGCUUGGUGUGGGUCGUGACGACAAGGCUGCCGGCAAUCAAUGCUGGCGACCACGUCACAUCGAUCCCGGGAUGCUUCACAAGAUCCCGGGAGAAACGUGACCCAUCUCUUCCGGCACACAAUUCCGAACAUCGUAUGGACGAGCGCAAAUGCAAGCUUAAGCAUACGCCCUGUUAGAGUGUUAGUCCCGCAGUAGGGUCAGUGAUCGGCCAUGGACACAUGGACAUGUGUGGCAUGGCUGCCGGUCAAGAACUUGCCUCCCGCUGAACUGGAGGUAUACCAUUGUAGAGCUCGCCGAGAGAAGUCGAUUGACACCGACCUGGCUAGAAACGAAAGGGGUUUGAGUGGGUUUUGAGGGGGUGCACGGUGGGUAGGGGCGGUCGGUCGGUCCGGAUGGGGGCUCGGGAGGUUUUGGGUCAUGGCCUCAUGGGGUCCAAAAUCAUUGUUUCCCCCCCCCCUUGAAUGAGCUUCCCUAAACCUACCCCACGCUGUCAGCCUGCUGCAAUGUUUGACAUGGUUCGGUUGUCAAUUUGUCAUAGGGCUGGCAUCGUCCUGUGGCAGACACGCGGCCGGUUGGAUGCCCCGCUGAUGCCCACCUGCCGUCGGCCCAAACCAGGGCUCGCAUCUUUUAGGGGUAGGCCGCCGCCGCUGGCGAGACGGGCCCUGACCACGUUCUCGCCCACGGCAUCCAGGGGCCCCCAAACACCUAGCUUUUAGUGUUUGGGGGGACUCCGCUCCUUAACCCCCCCCCUUGCAGCGCGACUGUUUCCUUACGGGAUUGGUUCAAAGUUACCCCCCCCCGGGGAAGGGGUAGUUGGCGAGAUUCAGGGACCGUAAUCACCGUAUACAGCCUCACGCGGCGAGAAUGCACCCCGGUAAUGCCCAAUCUUGUUCGCUUAAGAGGCUGCAUUGGGACCCGUACCUUGCUGCUCCCCGAAGACGCAAGCCCUAGCACAAACCUGGCGUCCUGACCAAGGUCCUGACUCCCCCGCCCCAACGUUAUACCGUAAACAGGGUGUCUCCAGGUUGGUUCUGCGUGGCGCGGAAUAUUCCGUUGCCUCCGGCACCCACCUGGCAGAGUCCGUUAGCCCAGCCAGCACAUCCGGAUGCCUCCUCACAGUCUGCGACCGGCGGCUCAUGCAGUGCUCGUAUCUUAAGAAGGCAGGUGCGGCGCCAGUGACAGAUUUCCGAAAUAGGGCAUCUUUAAUUUUCAGAAAACCGCUGCCGCCGCAUCUUUCAUCCAAAAAUUUUCCGGGGGCUCCGCCCCCGACCUAUGCACGGUUCGUGUCAAGCCAGGGGGGUGGCAGGCCGUGUCAGCAAUCUCUCAAUCUCCCAUUCGUGCCGUGCAUCCAUCUCAAAACAGAAACUCGCUCCACACAAACACACAGCUUUGUACACAUGGCUGGUACUGGGCAUCUGGUGCAAUGGCAAACAAGCUUGUCCUGUUGCAGCGUGCCAAAUGCGGCUGCAGUUGCCCCCAGCCCACAUUCCGGCUCCGGCACAGCAAAAUAUUCCGCCGCACCGCAUGUGCCGCUGUCACAGCGUGCAGGGUGAGGUUGCUGUUGCCCUCAGCCCACGUUUCGGCUCCGGCACAGCAAAAUAUUCCACCGCACGGGAUGUGCCCCUGUUACAGCGUGCGGUCUGUUGCCUUCGUUGCUGAAAAAGCACCGGCUCUAUGGCUCCAUGGCACAACGUGGCCCAUCCCCACGCCAAACCCCAGCGCCCUCUCCCACGCUCAUACAUCACGCUCACCCACCCACGUCAUGACUCCCCUAGUGGAAGGCUGCCCUAUCUUGGUGUGCCCCCACGGUGCCAGCAGGACACGGCCGUAGAUAGAGUUUCCUGGGGAACCUCAGUCACCCUUGCCUUGGGCCCGGACAAGUUACAGAAGCGCCCUAAAAUGUCUUCUGCGAAUCUCAGAAAGACCCCUCAAAACCUGAAGCGUUUCCACAGAUUUUUGGCGGCAAGAAUAAAAAAAUUCUUCCGCCGGAGGCAUUUUGGAGCAAAUUUCUGUCGAAAAGAAGGAAGAUACGAGCACUGGGCUCAUGUCAGCCUCAGCGUCCGUUUUGGAGGUAACAUGUGGACUCGCAUUUUGCGCUACUGACUGGCUGGUUUCUCCCCUUGCUUGCUGGCUCCGACGACCUCCUCUGGCAUCGUGUGUACCGUAACUCGUUUCCUUAGAGCAUCUUCGAUAAACAGGCCCCGCAGCAUGCCCGGGCUUCCUUAGUUUAGACCCGCUGUGGAGGCAAUUGAACCCAUUGCACAGUCCGUAGUACGUACUGGCGCGUACUAGUACGUAUUCUUGAAUGGUUACACGUGGGAAAACACGCUGUGCAAGGAACAGGUCCGAACAUCACGGGCAUCCCAAGACAUGCUGGGCUGUCAGCGCGUAUUCAAAUGCAAAGGCUUUUGGAUAGGGGUAAAACUCUGCCCUCAAACUCGAACUCACACGUACUGCAACCGGCCGCCCGCCGUGUUACAGUGCCCUCCACGGGUGUGACAUGCCCCCAUGGUGUACUAGGGCAAAGAUGGCUAGUCACCACAUCGCGUCGUUGCCAUAACCAUAUGAACGAUCAAUUGCAUUCAUAACUGGCUUGCGCACGAACCAACUGCAACAUUUACACUAGCCUGUGUAGAACUGUGUCUAAUUCCCCCCAAGCACAUGAAUCCUUGCACACAUCCACACAUAGCCAGGCGGCUGGCGGUCUACACUCAGUAAGUCAUGCGCCCCUCGCCACAAAUCAAUGACAAGAAGGAAUCUAAUGCAGCUCCACAAUAAAUUGUAUAUGCCGUGAGCUAAGCCCCACAACAGAAGGCACGAGACUAUUGGUGUCACUGUCCUGGUCGAAGGUCACAGGGAUCAACACGAAUCGGUUGCGGGUCACACACGAGGAAGGUUGCAAUCGGUACGUGCUAGCGUCCCCGAAUCACAGGGUGCCGCGGCUAAGGACUGUUGAACCACAGACUAUUGCACAACUUUCCCCACAGUCGUCAGAGCCCUACCAUUAGAGGCACGUUCUGUCUCGCAACCGAAACAAGGUCACAGUCAAGGCCCGCUUCAAUACAUACUGCACAUGCUGUAACCAUUUAUUUCUGCUGUCCACACAGCGCCCACUCCCACCCAAUAAUCAAUCGUGCCAAGUGCAAACCCCCGCGCACCGCACGCAUCAGUUCAGUGGCGCACCGCCACCGUGCUCAUAGCCUCCAGCUCGCCCAGCACGUGUCGCAUGUCGGGCCGGUCCGCCGGGCGGUACGCCAUGCAAGCCUCCAGCAGCGUCGCCAGGCGGGGCGGGCACACGGCCAGGUCGGCGGGCACGGGCAGGCGCAUGCGGUGCACGGCCACACGGUAAAUGAUGGCCACGUUGGAAUCGCCACUCCAGGGGUGCUCCUGAGUGAUCAUUUCUGUGGAAGGGUAGCGGGUGGGCGCAGCAGGUCAGAAAUGCUUGUCCCAUAGAGGCUGACCAUUGCACGAAUUUCAACUGUGCACUUUGAAACGCUCAGCACCCACAUUCAAGUGCAUGGACUUGUAGCCGCACUGUACUGGUGCUUACCCCAGAGGAGCACGCCGAAGGAGUAGACAUCGCACUUCGAAGACAAACGGCCAAUGGCAGGGUCAAAGCCCUCGGGCGCGGUGUAAGCGACGCUGCCCGCGUCUGGCUGCUGCGUGCUGAUGUAGGGCUUGAGGUGGUAGCGCGCCAGCCCGAAGUCACUAAUCUUGGCAGUGCCGGUGGCAUCAAGCAGGAUGUUGGCCGGUUUCACUGCAUGCAGGCAGGGGCGAUGGGCAGACUUCAUCAUCACGAGUUCCACCCAUGUCAUACUUUGCUAAUCGUGACCACAGUGCAACACAAGUGCACGGAACAAGGUGCGCAAGCGGGACAAGCUUCAGGCUCACAAUCGCGGUGCACGAUGGCGGGGUGCAGGUAGCGCAGGCCGCGCGCCACGUCCGUGGCAAUCCGCAGCACCUCGCUGAGUGGCAGGCGGCUGUUGGCGCCAUGGAUGACAUUGUGCAGGCAGCGCGGCAGCAACUCCAUCACCAAAAAGGGCCGCCCGGCGUGCGCGCAGCCGCCCAGCACGCGCACGAUAUUUUGGUGCUGCGAUGAGGGGAAAAGGCGACAUCUCUAAUCUAGCAUUCGUGCAGAUUCACAGGCGAACUGGCCCGCCCUACACGGUACGCAUAGCUUCCCGGCGACUUGCAGCACAAGCAGGUCAUGCGCUCACCCGCAGUGAUGCCAGGAUGGCGAUCUCUUGCCGGAACGACUCCACUUCCUUGUCCUUGUACGGCAGUGCGCCGCCAGGCCCACCCGGCGAGCCACCCGGCAUGGGCUGCUGCAGGUGCAGAUGGUGCAGCACCUUGAUCGCCACGGGCUGGUCCCGGAAACGGCCACGGUACACUGAGCCGAACGCGCCGGCGCCCUGUGGAUACACAGUAGCACACACAGCUUUGAUCAGGUCUACUCAUGCCUUGCUGUGAAGCCCAAGCCUGGUCGGCAGCCCGCAGGCACACAAUACGGCCAUAUGCAGACAGGAGGCUUACCAGCAGCCCGUCGGCCUGCAGCUUGAGGUCGCGCGGGCUGAUGUCCAGGUCCAAGUGGGGGUCAGCGGGGGCCGGCAGCAGCACAGCUUGCCCGCUGCUGCCAGCUGCCCCGGCCGUGGUCGCUGUCGCUGCACUCGCGCUUGUGUCCGCUGCCGCUGGUAUUCCGCGCGAGCGCGUCGGCGGUAGUGGUGGCAAAGCGCUGUCGUGGGUGGGUGACAAACCGGCGACCCCGCCUGUUUUGGCAGGCGGGUGGCCAGCGGCGCCCUCUGCAUCUGACAAGACCGCUACUGCACCCGCCGUGCCUUGCGACGACCGCAUCGACAGCGUCGUGCCGUUACCCGAUAUGCUGCCUGAUUCUAACCCCGAGGGUGCCCCUGAGGCGGAGUCCGACACCGGCUGCGACCCACUGCUGUAGUUGCGUCGGCCGGCACUGCUGUGAUUCACGUUUGCCAGCCCGUCCUCCCGCUGCUCUGGGGCGCCAUCGCCGCCGCUGACUACGUCGUGCAGCGCUGCCGAGCCACACGCCAGGCCGCUCAGCGCUGCUGCCACACCGCGGCCGAGGCCCUCCGUGUAUGUGCGCCACCGCUGCAGGCGCGCAACCGACGAUGCCUGAGAGCCGCCGUGCGCCACCGUUGGCAGACCACUGAGUGCGCUUGACCGCAUACCUAAGUCGCCGCUCGGCGUUGCUCUGGAGAGCCGCGCUAUGUUCAUGGCCAGCUGCACAGACAGCCGCUCAAGCGUUGCGGUUGGCGCGGCGGCAGCAGGGACCGGCCGCUGCGGCGUCUGCGGCUCGGAGGCUGCGUGCCGCGGCGGGCUGGGCGGCGCGCCACCGCUGCUGGUAGGUGGCGUGGCCAAGUAGGCGCCAGUGAGCGGCGACUGCAUAAACAGGUCCUGCAGCGUCAGCUCGCAAGGCGCUUCACGACGGCGCAUGGAAGAUGACGCCGGGUGCCGGGCCGGUGAGGGCGCAAAGGCGCUGGUAGCAGGUGGUACGGACCCGGGUGUGCCGGGGGAGCCGCUGGAAAAGGCCCGAGACGCCAUCGGUUGCACCGGUCCAACCAAAGCAGCGGGCUGUGGGCAGCCGCUCCCCGCGCUAACGCCGCCCACUCUGGGUGUACGCUGGAACGGCGUCGCGGCGACACCUGUGGGCUGCCGGGAAGCGCUAGCUGCAGCGCCGUGUAGCGCGCCGGGUGAAAGUGGCGGGAGGCUGGACGGGACGGCGCUGAGCCCGUUUGCUGCAAGCAGGCCAGCUGCAGAUGGUGCGGCGCUGGUUGCGUUUGACAGGCAGAUGUUCUGCGCCGCUUCCCGGAACACAUCCAUUACACCGAAGCUGCUCGCGCCCGGGGCCCUGUCCCCACCGCAACCCUCCAGCGCCGCAGCCGCGGCCGCUAGCGUGUCCCCUGCAACGCCUCCCUCCACAGCUGCUGCCUCUUGCUGCUGCCACACAGGGGCAGGCAGCGCACGAUGUGGCGAUGCGCGAAUCACAGCCACGCUGUCGCCCUCAGGCAACAGCACUGACACGCGGUGCGGGUCAAGCCCAGCCUCGCCGCCGCCCGGGUAUAGCACCACCCACUGCGGCGAGGCCACACCACCGCUAGCCGCCGCCUCCGUGCCAAUGCUGGUGGUACCCCCCAGCGCCACGCCCGUGCCCGCCACGGACACCUGCGAUUCCAGCGAGGACUGGUAGGCCAGCAGUCCGCCGUCGGCCCGCUUCGUGCUCAGCUGCUUCUUCUGCGCCUGCUGCAGCAGCUGCUCCACGUGCUGCUUGUCCUGCUGCUGCAGCGGGUGUGCCAGUUGGUGGUAGGUGCUGUCACCGUCCGUAAGCGAGAUGCCGACCCAGGCGGUGUCAGCAGCGGCACCGGACUCGUGCUGCGCCUGGUACCCCUCUGAGCUUGCCGGUGCGGCAGGCGCUGGACCAGGGCCCGGCGCGGGGCCGCUCUUGUUGGCGCCAGCUCCGCCAAGGCUGCGGCGGCGGUACAGGACAAACACUACGACCAGCGUAGACACGAACGCCGCCGAAGCUAGCGCCGCUAUGACCACGAUGGCACCCGUUGAUAAAUUUGCAGAGGCUACGGGCGGGCAGAAGGAAUAGGUAAAGUUGUGUCAGGACGGAAACCAGAAUGGUAGUAACAGGAUACUGGGAUCAACGUAACAUUUCGCGCAAAGCACGCUAAACUUACUGUAAGAGAUGCUAGGAGGCGGCGGUGGGAACCACUCUUGGCCGUUCUGGACGCGCCCAGGUGGCGGCCGCGGAUGGGUGCUUACGUGAUCCUCAUAGCCGGGAAACGGCGGGGGCGGUGGAGGCGGAGGCGGUGGUGGAGGCGGGGGUGAAGGGGAGCGCGGUGGACUCGGCGGUUGCGGCGGCGGCGCCAGCUCAAUUAUCAGCCCCGGCGGCGGCGCGCCUGGCGGGCUGGGCGGCGUGAAGGGUCCCGGGGGUGGGUGCACUGGCGGCGGCAGUGCCGGACCGCCCGGUGGCGGCGCGUUGGGAGGCACUGGUGCUGGCGGGGGCCGGCAGCACAGCAGCACCCUGGGCACCACCUUGAGCCCAUCCUGCUCCAGCAGCGCUGUAUACACCGCAGGUAGCGCAUUGCUGCAGCCGUACGCCUCCUCCCGGUGCACCAUGCCGGUAGUGCUCAGCAGCACCGCCCUCACCUCCGUGUUGCAGGGCACGGCACCCAGGCUGGCAAACACCUCCACGCUGCUGGGCAGCGCCGCCUGCAUGCGCCGAAAUGACCGGCUGUACAGCCGUGCCGGCCACGUCGCUGUCACGAUCAUGUACGGAACCGCAAGUACCAGAUCCGUGCUGUUUGCGCCUGUGCCGUUCACUGCCAGGGACUCGUUCGAGGCGGUGUACGCACUAGGCAGUGGCGCAGCGGAGCCGUAGCGUGGCAUAGGCGUGGUGCUGCCUGAGGAGGAGAGCUCGUUGCUGGCGUAGCAGCCGUACUUGCCGUUCAGCAGGCCAUACGGCUGCGCCAGCGUCUCGCACGCCGCCAGCAGCUUGGCGCAGAGCAGGCGCUGCGGGUCUGCCAUUACGAAGAGAGUUAGCUGCGGCGCGCCCGGCACUGCUGCUGGUGGCGGGUAGCGGCGCGUCGGCGGCCGAGGCGGGCGGGUGGGGAGCUGUGGAUGCGGCUGCGGCGAGGGUGGUUCCGGCGAGGGCGGGUCCGGCAGCGCGCGCCACGGCGGAAGCACCGGCGGCGGCCGUGGUGGCGUGUGGCGUUUGGGCGGCCGCGGCACGUUGGUGGCGCAGCACAUGGCCGGCAGCACCAGCGACGCCACGCUGCCCGGCACUGACAGCGUGCCGUCGCAGCUGAAGGUGUACACAGUGGCGGUGUCCUGGUCCUCCGUCAGCGUGGUGGCCAGGAGUGCACCGCCGCAUGGCAUGCCCGCCACCUGCAUGAAGGUGCUCACGUCUGCGCCCGUGUCCGUACCAAGGCUCGCAAUCGCACGCUGCGCCAUUUCGAGUGACGGCAGGACAGCGGACAGUACGAAAGACGACAGCGACGGCGGACUGGGCGCAGUCAGCGAUAGCGGCAGCGACGGCGGAGAUAGCUGCUGCAGUCCGGGGUCGCUCAGGUCCUCGCUUCCGUCUGUCAACACCUCCCGGCCGACGUAGCAGAGCUGGUUGCGAGAGAAUAUGUUGCCGCUGUCCAGCAGCUCCAGGAACAUCGGCUGCAGCUCCGCGCAGGAGCGUAUGCCGGUCAGCCCCCGCAGCUGCAUGAUGGUCUCUGGCGUCUUUGCAACAUCCGAGACUGACUGCGGCGGUGGCGCUGACAGGGGCCAGCCCCCUCCCGGAGGCGGGGACGCCGCCGGCUGGGCCCAAGCGGCGUCAAGCAAGCUCUGCGAGGUGUUAGGGCCAGCGAAUGGUGCACAAGAGCUCUCGCCUCGCAGAUCAAAUCAGCUGUUGUUCAAUUCGAAUUACUAAUUCUUAACACAACUCCCGUUGCAAAAGCCCACGCAGCUGACGGUUUGGCAUGCCCCGGCUGUCACCCGUUGCCUGUUCCCAGGAGCCUCAUCCCAGGCUGAAUAUGUGACGAGAGUUAACGUGCUAAGCUCGCGGCAGGCAGUCGUGCGGAGAAAGAGACCAGUCAGAGCUGACCGCAGCCCGGAAAACUUACCCCAGCGAGCAGAAGUAGCAACAAAGCACUUCGUAGAACUUUACAUAUAAAGCUCAUGACGAUGCCGUGGAUGGGGCACCGUCUUAGCGCUCAGCUCCUCAGGCCGGUUUCACCGAGCUACAGGCAUUCUGUCGCCGCGCCUCGUAUGUGCCGCCUCUCACGCGCGACUUAAUUGUUACAGCUUAUAUGAGCUAUUUGUAGUCAAACGUAAUUGACUCGCGUGGGAAUACGUGUGGUCUUUGCACAACUGGCCCUGCUGGUGACGGGCGCAAGCAACAACCCGGCUCCCUACAGUGUCGAUGAAAUUCAGCGUUAAGUGGAGAUAGUUCAUCCACUGAUAGCAUUUAAUUUGAAGGGUUGCGGUGGGCGAGACUCUGUUUCCAGUCUCGAGCCACCAUGGGGCGCCCAUCCCAAGGGGAACUCAGAGCGGUCGCUCAACACUCUGCCCGUCGCCCCACAACACUCUCUCUUCUUCAACACGCAUCAAAAUGGGUAAGCAUAUGGAUUGAAAUAUUUUUCUGUGUUGUCGCUGAGUAUACGUUCGCUUGUUUCUUGCAGGCAAGGUCCACGGUUCCCUCGCCCGUGCCGGUAAGGUGCGCGGCCAGACCCCCAAGGUCCCCAAGCAGGAGAAGAAGAAGCGCCCGCGGGGCCGUGCCAUGAAGCGCAUGAAGUACAACCGCCGCUUCGUCAACGUCGGUGAGCGCACAUUUCUGCAGCCGACCGGUGAUUUGCGCAGCGGAAGCCGCCUAUUUGGAGGCUGGGAUCAGCAGCAGCGGCGAUGACUGCAUUUAGUGGCGCUGGGCUCGCGAGGAGACCACAAAGGCGGACGUGCAUCUUGCCGCCGGCAGGCUGGCAAGCAGUCGUGUUAGCAGGCGGCGGUGUGAGCCAUUGUCCAGGAAUUGUUUGGAUUGGCAGGCUGCAAAUUCUGCGGACUUCUUUGGCAGCUGCGCAGACUUUCAGCCAGGGCUGGAUGGCCAAAGUCGGAGCCACUGUCUUCACCAAACAUUGUCUUUCUUCUGUCUGACUCAUGUUCUGCCCUUGCAAUUGCAGUGGUGGGCUUCGGCAAGAAGCGCGGUCCCAACUCCAACCCCGCCUAAGCGGACGCGGCCAGUUGUAGAGGCGACACUCUGGCGUAUCGGCGUGGCAGCUAUGGGCUCUACAGGACUUAUUAGCGCCUUGUCGUGGAGUUCAGAGUAGCCCUGCAGCCGCUGCAUCGGCGGCGGUUCUGGCCUCGCGGGGCGCACAGCAGAGCAGGAGCGGCGUAGCAUUUGGAGAUUGCGGGGAGCGACAAGCAGGAGCUUUAGUCGUGGUGAAGAGGGCCUGACAGUUCUGGAGGCUCGGAUGUCGGAGCCCAACCUCGCUGGUGGGUGCCGCGAGGCCCCGCAGCGCAGACAGUGGACCAGGUUCCUAUGGUAUCCGUUGGCUGUAACGGCAGUUGCGGAGCUGGGACGUGUUC
Molecule: long non-coding RNA, 56784 nt
Filed under: Chlamydomonas reinhardtii
Lineage: Eukaryota; Viridiplantae; Chlorophyta; Chlorophyceae; Chlamydomonadales; Chlamydomonadaceae
Description: long non-coding RNA (CREI_LNC001253)
Source: RNAcentral